AAUCUUUAUCAAAUGAAAUUAAAGUUUAUUUUAAAACACAAACAACUAGUUCAUUGAAAUGAUAACUUGUUUAGUACACAAACAAGAUCUUACUUAAUACAUAGAAAUAAGAUCUUACGGAACAUAGAGAUUAAAAACAUAGGAACAACAUGAAAAGUUUUUAAAAUGACAUAGAUAUUGAUUAACAAAGAUAUGAACUAGUUUCGGGUAUUUUUUAACCAUCCAUCAAGGUAAACUUGUUUGGAGUCAGGGGUGGAUUUUGGUCUAAUAUCUUUCAACCAUCCAUCAAGGUAAACUUGGUUGGAAUCAGAGGAGGAUUUUGCUUUUUCAGCUCGAGUGUCUUUCAACCAACCAUCAAGAUAAACUUGUUUGGGAUCAGAGGUGGAUUUUGUUUUCUCUGCUCGAGUAUCUUUCAACCACCCAUCAAGGUAUACUUGGUUGGAGUCAGGGGUAGAUUUUGUUCUCUCGUUUCGAAUAUCUUUCAACCAUCCAUCAAGGUAAACUUGGUUGGAAUCAGAGGAGGAUUUUUCUUUUUCAGCUCGAGUGUCUUUCAACCAACCAUCAAGAUAAACUUGUUUGGGAUCAGAGGUGGAUUUUGUUUUCUCUACUCGGGUAUCUUUCAACCACCCAUCAAGGUAUACUUGGUUGGAGUUAGGGGUAGAUUUUGUUCUCUCGUUUCGAAUAUCUUUCAACCAUCCAUCAAGGUAAACUUGGUUGGAGUCAGAGGAGGAUUUUUCUUUUUCAGCUCGAGUGUCUUUCAACCAACCAUCAAGAUAAACUUGUUUGGGAUCAGAGGUGGAUUUUGUUUUCUCUACUCGGGUAUCUUUCAACCACCCAUCAAGGUAUACUUGGUUGGAGUCAGGGGUAGAUUUUGUUCUCUCGUUUCGAAUAUCUUUCAACCAUCCAUCAAGGUAAACUUGGUUGGAGUCAGAGGAGGAUUUUUCUUUUUCAGCUCGAGUGUCUUUCAACCAACCAUCAAGAUAAACUUGUUUGGGAUCAGAGGUGGAUUUUGUUUUCUCUACUCGGGUAUCUUUCAACCACCCAUCAAGGUAUACUUGGUUGGAGUCAGGGGUAGAUUUUGUUCUCUCGUUUCGAAUAUCUUUCAACCAUCCAUCAAGGUAAACUUGGUUGGAGUCAGACAUGGUUUUUGUUUGCUUUGCUCGAGUAUUUUUCAACCAUCCAUCAAGGUAAACUUGGUUGGAGUCAGAUGUAGAUUUUUCUUUCUCAGCUCGGGGAUCUUUUAACCAUCCAUCAAGAUAAACUUGUUUGGAGUCAGAGGUGGAUUUUGUUUUCUCUGCUCGGGUAUCUUUCAACCAUCCAUCAAGGUAAACUUGAUUGGAGUUAGGCAUGGACUUUUCUUUCUCGACUCUGAUAUUUUUCAACCAUCCAUCAAGAUAAACUUGGUUUGAGUCACUUGCAGGUUUUGUUUUCUCAACUCGGGUAUUUUUCAACCAUCCAUCAAGGUAAACUUGGUUGGAUUCAGAGGUGGAUUUUGCGUUCUCUGCUCUGGUAUCUUUCAACCAUCCAUCAAGGUAAACUUGGUUGGAGUUAGGUGUUGACUUUUCUUUCUCAGCUCUGAUAUCUUUCAACCAUCCAUCAAGAUAAACUUGGUUGGUGUCACCGGUAGAUUUUGCUUUCUCAGCUCGAUUAUCUUUCAACCAUCCAUCAAGGUAAACUUGGUUGGAUUCAGAGGUGUCUUUUGCUUUCUUUGCUCUGGAAUCUUUUAACCAUCCAUCAAGAUAAACUUGAUCAGAGUUCUGGGAGGAUUUGGUUUUCUCUGCUCGUGUAUCUUUCAACCAUCCAUCAAGAUAAACUUGGUUAGAGUUAGCAAUGUGUUUUUGACUCUUCAAUGGAUUUUUGAGCCAACCAUCAAGGUAAGGUUGAUCAACUUGUAUUUCUUGUACAUUCUCUUGCUGAAGUUUGAUAUAUCGGGCAAAGCUUCCUUGUCCAUUCUAUAAUACAAUUGAAUAAAUGGAUAUUAGUGAGUUAUUUUUGGAUGGUAUAUAUGAUUACAAAAACAAAAUAAUGUGUUUUAUAAGACACAUUAUGUUGCACAGGUGAGACACAUUCAUUAUAUAUUUCAGAUGGAUACAAAAUGUGAAAUAAAAAUGAAAGAAAAACAAUUUUUAAAAUUUCAUUGCGGCAUAGAAAACAUUAUUUUAUCAAAUCAAAUAGAACAACUUGAUUGUAAGUGAAUGAUGAAAUCAAAUCAAAUAAAGAUGAGAAAUGAUAGAUUGUGAUAAAUAAAUGAUGAAAAAUAUAAGUGUAAAAGAUACAAGAAUGGAUGCAAAGUUAGUAACUUACGAUCAACAAGAGCAUGAUAAAAGGGAGGAGAAACAAAACAUCUUUGUGUGUCAUUUCUUUAAUGUUAUGAUUUUGUGGGAAAAUUGUUUUAAUGUGAAAAGAUGUAUUGAAAUGGAAGUGAAUUGGGCUAUUUAUAAGUGAAUGAAAAGAAAAACUACAUUAAGGAUAUUAAGGACAUUGCGACUUUGGUUGGCAAGAUUAUUUUUUAAAUAUUUAAUUUAUUUUAUUUUUUAAAUGUUUAGUUUAAUUUAUAAGUUUAUAUGUCUAAGAAAGAUCAAUUUACUUUUUCCAAGAUCUAUUAGGUGUGUUGUUUUGAGUUAUAAAUAAAAAAUUCAAAAAAUUGUUUGUUUGGUAUCAUUUUUUUAAUUAGAAGCUCCUAACUAAAUUCUCCAGGUUUAAAAUAAAUAAAUUUUAGAAAAGCUACUGCAAUUAGUUUUUUAUUUUAAAAUUAAAAAUGAUUCUCUUAAAAACUUUAAUAAAAACCUAUUAAAAUGAUAAAGGUGAUUUUUUAAAUGUUAAACAAACAUUUAUUUUGAUAAGUUAUUUCAAAUAAUUUAAAAUUUCAUAAAUUUAUUUUAAUUUAUAAUUGAAGUGGUAAUUAUCAUAAUCUCGUCUCUUGAGUUCUAAUAUUUGAGCUAAUAGUAUAAAUAUUUUUUAGUUGAAUUAAAAUUUGCAUUAAUGAUAGUUUCAAUUUUACAAUUAAUUAAACUAAUUUAGUAGUUAAUUUUAUUAAGUGUAAUAAAUGCAAUGAAUUAAUUUAACUACAUCCCCUUUAAUUCGAGGUGGGUGUAGGUAUUCCGAGACAUUCAAAUUUGAAGACUAAUAUAUAGAUUAAAAUUAUUUAUUAAUUUAUUUAAUGGUAAUUACAUAUUACAAAAUUUCAUUUUUGGAAAAAAGUUAUUAUUUUAAUAUUUUAUAUUUUUUAAUAGUUAUUAUUUUAUAAAAUUAAUUAUAAUGAGUAUAAUAUUUUAAUUUUAUUAUCAUCAAAUAUACACGACAUCAAAAUUACCAAACAUGAAAUCUAAAUAUAGGGAUCCAAUUAAUUGAAUUGGAAUUUACAUUGUGAAUCAUGAGUCUUCUGCCACCAAUUCCUAGGGACUCACUACCUAGCAAACAAUGAAUACAAAAUAGUAUCACAAGAAACACUAAAAUACUGUGUUGACCCUUGCAUGUUUAAGAUGUUCACAUGUAGCUAGGGUUUGGGUGGUUAUGUAGUUAUGCUUACCUAAUAGUAAGACUGUGUUGACCUUUGCAUGUUUAAGAUGUUCACAUGUAGCUAGGGUUUGCGUGGUUAUGUAGUUAUGCUUAUCUAAUAGUAAGUUAAAAAAUUGUAGUUAUCUAAAAAGUAAUAAAUUAUUAUAUUGACCGGUCUAAAGAGAAGAUAGAUAAGUUANGUAGUUAAUUUUAUUAAGUGUAAUAAAUGCAAUGAAUUAAUUUAACUACAUCCCCUUUAAUUCGAGGUGGGUGUAGGUAUUCAGAGACAUUCAAAUUUGAAGACUAAUAUAUAGAUUAAAAUUAUUUAUGUUCGUCUUAUAUAUUUUUUUUUUAUAUUUUAAUAUAAAUAUUUAUUAAUUUAUUUAAUGGUAAUUAUAUAUUACAAAAUUUCAUUUUUGGAAAAAAGUUAUUAUUUUAAUAUUUUAUAUUUUUUAAUAAUUAUUAUUUUAUAAAAUUAAUUAUAAUGAGUAUAAUAUUUUAAUUUUAUUAUCAUCAAAUAUACACGACAUCAAAAUUACCAAACAUGAAAUCUAAAUAUAGGGAUCCAAUUAAUUGAAUUGGAAUUUACAUUGUGAAUCAUGAGUCUUCUGCCACCAAUUCCUAGGGACUCACUACCUAGCAAACAAUGAAUACAAAAUAGUAUCACAAGAAACACUAAAAUACUGUGUUGACCCUUGCAUGUUUAAGAUGUUCACAUGUAGCUAGGGUUUGGGUGGUUAUGUAGUUAUGCUUACCUAAUAGUAAGACUGUGUUGACCUUUGCAUGUUUAAGAUGUUCACAUGUAGCUAGGGUUUGCGUGGUUAUGUAGUUAUGCUUAUCUAAUAGUAAGUUAAAAAAUUGUAGUUAUCUAAAAAGUAAUAAAUUAUUAUAUUGACCGGUCUAAAGAGAAGAUAGAUAAGUUAUUAUAAUCAAAUAUUAUCUAAAAAACAAUAAAUUAUAAGGAAUAUAGUUUCAUUAUUUUUAUGUUUAUUUAAAAAAUAUAAAUAUUUUUUAAAUUAAUGAUAAAUAAUUGAUUUUAAAUGUGAUGAUGGUUUAUAUCUUUACAUAAGAAACUAAAUGAUAAAAUGUGAAUAUUCAUAUCUAACAUUAAAUAUUUAUCUAAAUAUGUAGGCCAGCCUCAUAUUUAUUGUAAAUUUUUUAACAAAGCUUUUAAUAAUGUAAAUUAGAAUAAUGUAGGCCAGCCUCUCUAUUUAUAUAAAAAAAAUAUUUUUUAAAAUAUUUUUAUAAUAAAAAUAUAAAAUUUGUCACAAAACAAUUUUAUUAUUUUAUUAACUAUAAAAAUAUAGGUUAUAAAUCACAUAUUUCAUUUAUAAUUCAUUAACCAGUAAAAUACGUAAUAUUAAUCAAAUUAUAAUAUUAAAAUAUGAAAUACACAAUUUGCUUAAUUAUUAAUUAUUAUAUUUUAUAUUUUAAUGUCAAAAUUUAUUGAUAUUAUUUAUUUUAUUAAUUGAAUACAGUAAUAAAUAAAAUAUAUGGUUAAUCACCUAUAUUUUUGUGAUUAAUAUAAUAAUAAAAUUAAUUAAUAACAAACUUUAUAUUUAUAUUAUAAAAAUAAUUAUAAAAAUAAAUCAAAAACGAGUUUAAGACAACAUAGGAAAAAGGGAGACUCGGAUAUCGUAUCUCAAAGACGGUUGAAUUAUUAUUAAUAUACUGGAAUCGAAUUGGGGGUUUAUAUUUGAUUCAUAAUAAAUGAUUAUGAAAAGUGAUUAUAAAAUAAGUUGAUUUAUUGAUUCGGUUCCUACCUACCAUUGAUUAUUAUAGCGCGAAUGAAAGUGUAAGAAUUAUGUUUCUUAUUUGCUGAAUUAAGCAAUCAGUUAAGAUUAAAGCGAAUUAACGGAUUAAGCAUACGUUAACACGCAAUCAAAAUUAGGGAACAAUAAAUAUUCAAAUCAAACAAAAUUACUAAGUUUGAAAUUGUACCUCAUUCAGGUCUUGGUUCAAGCAUCCCUAUGUGCAUCACAUUUAACUUUGCAUAGGCCAUGAACUCAAGUCUUUUGGUAUGGAAAAAUGCAUAGAUCCAUAUGCCCGAUUCACUUCAUUCAUAUGAUGCAGAUGAUCAAGGAUGAUUGAUCCAUUUAAGACUUAGUUCCAUUGGUUCAUUCUUUGUUGCUUAAGAAAUCUCAGGGUUUUACUAAGAAGAAAGAGGUCGAGACCAGUGUCGUGAUAGUAAAUAUCUACCCUCAAGUUCAAGCACCUAUGACUCAUGUGUCAUACUACCCUUAUCUGUACAUUGUCGCUGCUCAAUAUCAGCAACCUGCAUACCAACCGCAAUAUCAACAGCCUCCAUGGGCUCCAAUUUCUCAGAAUCAACAAAAUAGCAGAAACCAGAGUCUAGGUCAGGGCAGACGUUAUGAUAGAAAACGUCCUCAGCCUGACCAUAUCCCUGUAUCAUACACUCAGUUGUUGUCGUAUCUUGUCCAGUAAGGAGCAAUUGCGCCAAAAGAGAUUCCGCCUGCAACUCCUCCCUAAAAUCACAAGCAUAAUCCUAAUGUGUCUUGUGCAUUUCAUGUCGGAUACAUAGGGCAUUCUACAGAGGAUUGUUUGGUCCUCAAGACCAUAGUACAAGAGUUAAUUGAUCAUAAGGUUUUGUAAUUCUCUGAGGCAGGACCCAAUGUCAUAACCAACCUAUUGCCAGACCACUGUGGACAGAUAGUGAAUGCAGUUUAUGGCGAAGAUUCCUCAGAUUCAGUUGAUUCUUCAGAGAAGUACUGAUGCUAGCAAUAUCAUAUUGAUUCAAUCAUGUAUCAUUUGUAAUCUUUUCUUGUUUGUUAAUUGUUGUUCAUUUGUAAAACUUGUCUGGUUUUUCAGAUGAUAAUAAUAAUGAAAUAAGCGUGCAUGUUUUGCUUAAAUCCAUUCGUGUUCACUCAUAUUUUAUUUUAUCAGUAUCAAAUUGUUUGUCGAACAAAAUCAAAAGAGAAUGAUGAAAUUAAAAAUAUGCAAGAUCGCUGUUUGUAUGCUUUUGAAUAAGAUCAUGUUGAUGAUGCAAGGCAUUGUUCAAUCCCUAAACACCGGAGAUAUAAGGAAGAUAAUCCCUAGUCAACCCAUUUGGAUGUUGUAGUAGGAGUUUCUUUCUUUAACACAUAAAAUCCUCAUGCUUAACUAGGGGCAGGGUAUUCUUCAUUUAGUUUAGACUUGCAUUCAAAUUUCAGAAGGAGAAUAUCUCAUCCAGUGAUCAAUCAUAUCAUAUCCCUCUCAAGAGGAUGGAAUCACAAAUCCAGGAUGGUUAUCCCUUACCAUUCAAAAGGAGUGAGAUAGUCACGACCCAUGCAACAAAUCAAGAAAGUCGUGUCACACGGUUUUCUCUAGUACAAAAAGAAAAGAUGAAAAAAUUAAAAGUCCGCUAAGUCAAAAACUUGAAAACAAGAUUGACUUAUAUGUGUGUGUUUGGGGUGAGUCUGGAGAUGCACCUUCGAACUUCGAAAUGUGUGAGCUUUUUUGUAUUUUUCAUCUCAUGCCCUAGUAAUAUAUAUGGUGCAUUAAAAAAUAUCCAUAAAUUAAGGGAUUUGGUUAACACACUCUUAGGAUUGUUUUUCGACCCUUGUGAAAAAUCAAAACUACCUUUAGAAUUCAGAAAUAAAUCUUUGGACGCACCUCAAACACACACACAAUCAAUUCAUUUUUGAGUCAUGAAGUUAAUUAGGAAAUGCAUCUCCUUAAAUAUUAACGGGGGUGUAUUUUCCAAACCUAUUGAACCACACAGAAUUGCAUAAACCAAACAGAUGCAGAAAUAAAGAUAAAUCACAUUGAUAACAUGAAAAAUGAAAUAUUACAUAGAUAAUCGUUAACAUAAAUCGAACUUUGCAUUUGAACAUCAAGAUGGACGUUUCAACAUAUUUAUAAUAUCUUUUAUCGAUCUCGCAAUCAUCGCAUCCAACUUGAUCAAACAUUUUAUUUCGUAACGGUUAAAUGUAUUUCACAUAACUCUUAAAUCCGCAUCCGUCUUCAGCUUAAAGUUGUUGAACUGAAUCUACCAUUCAUUAUCAACCGAGAGUGAACCUUACUUGAGUUUCACAAUUCUUCAAUGAACUUAAAUGCAAUUGAGGACUCCGCGUAGUUGAGUCAUAUUUCAUGGAGACUCAUAAUGCGUCCAAAAAUGCAUUUCCAAAAUUUUAGUGGCAUUUUUAAAUUUUUAUAGGAUGGUUUUCCAGCACUUAUGUAGAGAUAAACAAUUUCCUUAUUAAAGGUCUCUGAGAGGAAUUGAAAUAAAUAUAUUUAAAAAAUUAGUAUUAUACUUAUUUAAGGAAUAAAGUUUUCUAACCAAAAAUUUUUCCCUAAUUUUUUUGUGCCUAAUUUUUUUGCUAACAAAAUAGAGACCUGAUUAUAUUUCACUAAUUUUCAUUCAUCUCUCAAUUAAUAUCUCUCAUAACCCUCAUUAACUCUCAAUUAAUGUAAUUCAUAUCAAUUAAUUGUUUUUUGAAAAUUUUGUAUCCGGCUUCGGACCAACUAGUUUAGUGAAUUGCUAAUUUCAUCUUUAAGUGUUGGAAAAAUACCUUAUAAAAAUUUGAAAAUACUCUUCUGAUUCCAAAAAUGCAUCUUCGGACGCAACUUGCACCUCACCAAAACACGCUUCAACUUGUUGAUGUUUUUUAUGUAAUUCAAGUGGUGUAACUGGUUACCUCAUGUGGUGUAAACGGUUACCACUAAAGUUGAUUUAAUUCAAUAUCAGAUGUAACCGAUUAUCCACUUUUGUGUAACGAUUACAAGCUUAAUAUUUUGAUUUUUUCUGAUAUUUUACUUGGUCAAUUCAGUUCCCAAUUGUGUUGUAUCUCUUGUAUAAGUGUUUAGAAUGUACACUCAUCUAAGGUUAAUGCAAUAAUAAUCUCUCAUCCUCAAUUCUCCUCUUUCACACUCCACAUCCAAAGUAUCUCCACCAUUAUUCACCAAACUUGUGGUGUCCUGUUCCAACAUUUGACAUCAAGAGUCUGGUUCAGAUCCACAAACACUUAGUGUGCAACAUGAAUUAUGUUUCCAAUGAAAAAAUCCCUCCAAACCUACCUAUCCUUGAUGCGAAGAAUUAUGAUAAAUGGUACAAGGAAAUGAAGAUGUUGUUUGGCUACCAAGAUGUUCUUACAGUAACUCUUAAGAGAAAAUAGUUGUCCCUGACCUACUUUGAGUCUCCGUAGGGAAAUUGGACUGGCAAAGAGGGUAGAAGGAGGAAACUACUCAAGUGAGCUUGAAGCAACAAAGGCAGUGAGUUUAGUUCCCACGCGGGGAAGAACGUUUAUAACAAGAGCCAGGAAGAUAAAUUAUUUUAUAAUACCUUCUCAAAAGUAAAAUGAGCUAUGAGAAAGAGCAAGAAUCUCAAGCGAUUGGCUGAACUUAACCUAGCUCGAGCUACAUGGCGGUUGAUCAAGGGAUACCGGAAAGAGGCAAACAACAGAACCUCCGGGUUUGAAGCUUUUCAUGUCGGGGCGAGGUCAAUCAAGGGUUUUGGGUCAGUGAAAGCUCGAGUGCCCCCUUCAAAAGUAAGGUGUCGGGAAUGCAACCAGUGAGGUGACCCGUUCCGUUAGGGCGGAUGAAAGAAGUUAUCCUGAAGCAGCGUCAAAGGCCUCUGUAGGCCCUUCAACAGGAUUUUUUGUCGUGUAGCAUUCUGUUUUGGCUACUCACGAAACUCUUUAUCCUUAAUAGGAAGAACUCCCUUUAGAGGAAGGAUACAAAGACCAAGCCUGUCUUUCUCUCUUAAAAAGGGCAUAUGGGGCAGGGCAGAAAGACUAUUUUAGGGGACUAAUCUGCUAAUGAAUGAAGGAAGGAGAAGGCCUUAAUUGUCUAUCCAAAGGUCCGCCUUGGGUGGAUUUAGGCGAAUCAAGUGGGUGGGAAUGAUCCGAGCCCCCUAUGUAAAUUUCAGUAAGGUAACUAAGGUUUACAAUAAUUCAUUUCAGUAGUGCGUUACCUUGCAGCUCUAUCUAUCGGGUAGUCAGUCUCUUGGUCAAAAGCCGGUACCUAAUUCCCCUGCUGGUGGGCCGAUCCUCGUCUAGCGGUGGGAACCGGCUGGUAUGGAUCAAUUGCUUGCCCUGUCUCUCUUCUGUUCAACCAUCGAGAAUCCGCAGUUAUCUUUGCUCAUUGGGUGGGCGAAGGAAUCCUUUCUAUUGAAUAAGGGCUUUGAGAAGCAGGCCAUUCCGUUCCAGUUAGCACCGUAUCCCGCUUUUCCGAUAGCAAAGGGCCUUCUAAUUAGCGUGCUUUGCUUAACCCGGCAAGAUCCGAGAUCAGACCUAGUCCUGCUGACCCGCUACCCUUGAAAACAUACUUUUUGCCACCUUACGACUGGUGUGAAGGAACUUAUUGCACAUAUUUAACAUGGGGAAGGAAAGAGGAGGGAAUAAAGCAUAUUUUAGGCAUCGANUUAAGAAAUGUCCAUGAAUUAAGGGAUUUGGUUAACGCACUCUUAGGGUUGUUUUUCGACCCUCGUGAAAAAUCAAAACUACCUUUAGAAUUCAGAAAUAAAUCUUUGGACGCACCUCAAACACACAUAAUCUGUUCAUUUUGUAGUCAUGAAUUUAAUUCGGAAAUGCAUCUCCUUAAAUAUUUAUGGAGGUGUAUUUUCAGAACCUACUUAACCACAAAGAAUUUCAUAAACCAAACAGAUGCAGAAACAAAGAUAAAUCACAUUGAUAACAUUGAAAAAUGAAAUAUUACAUAGAUAAUCGUUAACAUAAAUCGAACAUUAUAUUUGAACAUUAAGAUGGACGUUUCAACAUCUUUAUAAUAUCUUUUAUCGAUCUCGCAAUCAUCGCAUCCAACUUGAUCAAAUAUUUUGUUUCGUAACGGUUAAAUGUAUUUCAGAUAACUCUUAAAUCUGCAUUCGUCUUCAGCUUAAAAUUGUUGAAAUGAAUCUUCGAUUCAUUAUCAAUCGAGAGUGAACCGUACUUGAGUUUUGUAAGAACAAAAAUAGUUCUACAAUAGAUUCCAUGAUUUUGAUGAUAACAAAGGAUGAAACCAAAAAUGGCACCCUAACGAAAAGUUUCUAAGUGUGCAGGGUUCUAAAGAAAGAAGAAAUAAAUCUGAUGAUGUCAUCAGAUGCAAAACAAGAUCAGAUGUAAAAUCUCAAGUAUCAGAAGCAUCUAAAGAGGAAUCUCAUUCAAGAAGCUCUGACUCUGGACAAAACUACAAAGUAUCAGAAGCAUCUGAACAUGAAGUAAAGUCUAGAAGCUCUGACUCUGAACAAAUGCCUUCUGUAAAUUCUGAAGUUAUCAGCGCCAUCUGAACUUUCAAGAGAUAACAUCAGAAGCCAGUUUCUCCAGAUACACAAAGACUCUAAUCAGAAUUGUUAAUCAUGAUGAAGUAACGUUUAAGCCAAGUUAAAGUUCUGCAAAUGGAUUUCCUCAAUUAGAAAGAGACGUUAAUCUCCACUUCCAAGAGAGAAGAUACUAAUUGUGGUAAGUAGUCACUUCUAAGAGAAAAAGUCUACUGCAGAAGCUAUUAAUGGAAUGGCGUAACUACAUCUCAAUAUCCAACAGAUUCAACGCUACUUCAACUCUACUUCAACUCCUAUAAAUAGAGAAGAAAUCUCAUUCAGUAAGAAAGAAAUCACUAGCCAAAACUAUACUGAAAUUAUAUCACGCUCAAGAAAAACAUCUUUGUUCUUCAAAGAUUUUCACUAAGCUUUUGCUUAUCAAGUGAAAAAUUUGUUCUUAAGUUUGUAAUAUUUGCUUUCUUAGAAGCACUCUAGAUUACACAUCUUGUAUCUAAUUUUUAUUUGAUUUCCUCAAGUGACUCUUUGUAGUCUGUAGACUUGAGAGGACUAAGAGAUUUUCUUCUCUCUUAGGGGUUGUUUGUAAUCUUUCAAGAUUAGUGGAUUAAGUCCUUGUUGAAGGCGAAAUCACCUUGGCCGGGUGGACUGGAGUAGCUUUGUGUUAUAAGCGAACCAGUAUAAAAUCAUUGUGUGAUUUUCUUUUGCAAAAGCGCUUAUUUUUCAAACAAUUCAAACCCCCCCUUUCUUGUUUUUCUCACCUUCAAUUGGUAUCAGAGCUCCGGCUCUGUUAUUGAUUUUCAAAUCAAACACUUAACCGUGUAGAGAGAUCCAGUGCGAGAAAAACAAAUGGCCCACUCAAAUGAGAAAGAUUCUUACAAUGCCAAGCCUCCUGUUUUUGAUGGAGAAAAGUUUGAUUACUGGAAAGAUAGAAUCGAAAGUUUCUUUCUGGGUUAUGAUGCUGACCUCUGGGACAUUGUCACAGAUGGAUACAAACCUCCAACCUUAAAUGGAGCUGAAGUUCCCAGAAGCAAAAUGUCAGAAGAUCAGAAACGUGAGUUCAAAAAUCAUCACAAGGCCAGAACAAUACUUCUAAAUGCUAUAUCAUACAACGAAUACGAAAAGAUCACCAACAGAGAGACGGCUAAAGAUAUACUUGACUCUCUGAAGAUGACCCAUGAAGGAAACUCCCAAGUCAAGGAGACGAAGGCUCUGGCGUUGAUCCAGAAAUAUGAAGCCUUCAAGAUGGAAGAUGACGAAGCUAUAGAAGCUAUGUUUUCCAGAUUCCAAACUCUUAUUGCAGGUCUUAAAGUGCUAGACAAAGGAUACACGACUGCAGAUCAUGUUAAGAAGAUUGUCAGAAGUCUGCCAAAGAAAUGGAGACCUAUGGUUACUGCUCUGAAGUUAUCAAAGGAUCUGAACAGUAUCAGCCUUGAAGAACUUGUUAGUUCUCUCAGAAGCCAUGAGAUAGAACUAGAGGAGGAUGAGCCUCAGAAAAGGAACAAGUCAGUGGCGCUGAAGUCCAGACCUGAAAGACGGAAGUCAGACAGAACCAAAGCUCUCCAGGCAGAAACUGCAGAUACUGACGACUCUGAACCUGAAGACUCUGAUGAUGAAGAAGAACUGUCCUUACUAACCAGAAGAGUUAAGCAACUCUGGAAAAGAAGGAACAACAACAACUUCAGAAGAUCAAGACCCAGAGGGGAUAGAUCAGAGUCAACUUCAAAAGGUAAACCUAAUAAAGAUAUUACCUGUUUUGAAUGUAAAGAAACAGGUCAUUAUAGAAAUGAAUGCCCCAAGCUGAAGAAAGAUAACUCUAAGAAAGAAAGCUUCAAGAAAAAUGCCUUCAGAACAAAGAAGGGAUUAAUGGCCACCUGGGACGAUAGUGAAUCAGGAUCAUCAGAAUCUGACUCUGAUGAACAAGCCAACGUAGCAUUUAUGGCUACCACAUCCAGCAGCUCAGAUGAAGAAUCUGAAGAGGUAUUUUCUGAACUUUCUAGAUCUGACUUAGAAUCAUGUUUAUCAGAAACUCUUACCUCUCUUCAGAAAUUAAAACAAAAAGUUAAAAGCAUUAAAGGCCUUCUUAAAGCAAAAUCUGAAGAAUGUAGUGAACUUGAGACAACAAUUCUAGCACAUGAAGAUACAAUCAAAUCUUUAACGUUAGAAAGAGAUGGAGCUAAAACAAAAAGCUUAAAAUUAGAAGAAGCGUUGUCUCAAGCACCACAAACUUCAAAUGAAAUUAUUUAUAAAUAUGAAGAAGCCUUUCAGAAGUUUCUGAAGAGUGGAAUAGAUAGGAGUAUUAUGGCAUCCAUGAUUUAUGGAGUAAGUCAGAAUAAUAAAAGGGGAAUUGGGUAUGAUUCUGAUUCUGAUAAAACUUCUACCAGUAACCAAAUUAAAUCACCUUUUUCAUACCACUAUACACACACACAAGAACACAAAUUUAAAAAUGCUAGAAGACCCAAAGUUGUAAGAAACUCUGGGAAAACUAAUCUGAAAGGACCCAAGAGAUUCUGGGUACCGAAAGAUAAGAUUAUCUAUGUUGCAGAUAUCCUAUGCAGCAAAGUUCAGACACCAGUCAUGGUACCUGGACUCUGGAUGCUCGCGACAUAUGACGGGAAGAAAGUCUAUGUUCCAAAGCCUGGAACUUAAAGACGCUGGCUUUGUAGGCUUCGGAGGAGAUCAGAAAGGAAGGAUCAGAGGCUCCGGAACUAUUGGUAAUGGUACUCUUCCCUCUAUAUCUGAUGUUCUUUAUGUAGAAGGAUUAAUGCAUAACUUGUUAUCCAUAAGUCAAUUAAGUGAUAACGGUUAUGAUGUAAUCUUUAAUCAAAAAACGUGUAAAGCCAUUAAUCAGAACGAUGGCUCUGUCCUUUUCACAGGCAAGAGGAAAAACAACAUUUAUAAAAUAAAUCUUUCUGAUUUAAAAGAUCAAAAUGUUAAAUGUUUAAUGUCAGUUCACGAAGAGCAAUGGGUAUGGCAUAGACGCUUAGGCCACAUUAGCAUGAGAAAACUUUCUCAGCUAACUAAACUUGAGUUAGUCAGAGGCUUACCUAAACUGAAGUUUUCUUCAGAUGCUCUGUGUGAAGCUUGUCAGAAAGGAAAGUUUUCAAAAACAUCUUUUAAAAAGAAAAAUGUUGUUUCUACCUCCAAGCCUCUGGAGCUUCUUCACAUUGACUUAUUUGGUCCUGUGAAAACAGCAUCAGUCAAUGGAAAGAAGUAUGGACUAGUAAUCGUUGAUGAUUACAGCCGCUGGACAUGGGUAAAAUUCCUAAAGCACAAGAGUGAGUCUCACUCUGUAUUCACCAGUUUCUGUUCUAAAGUGCAAAAAGAAUUUGACUCUAAAAUUGUUAGAGUCAGAAGUGAUCAUGGUGGAGAAUUUGAAAAUAAAGAUUUUGAAGAAUUAUUUGAUUCUAAUGGAAUAUCCCAUGAUUUCUCCUGCCCUAGAACUCCACAACAAAAUGGAGUUGUAGAGAGGAAGAAUAGGACACUCCAAGAAAUGGCCAGAACCAUGAUCAAUGAAACAAAUGUAGCAAAGCACUUUUGGGCAGAAGCUGUAAAUACAGCGUGUUACAUUCAGAAUAGAAUCUCUAUUAGACCUAUUCUGGAUAAGACUCCCUAUGAACUGUGUAAGGGAAGAAAACCCAACAUUUCAUAUUUUCAUCCUUUUGGAUGCAUUUGCUUUAUAUUAAAUACUAAAGAACAUCUGAACAAGUUUGAUUCCAAAGCACAGAAAGGUAUUAUGUUAGGAUACUCAGAACGCUCUAAAGGCUACAGAGUAUACAACACAGAAACCAAAAUUGUGGAGGAAUCAAUUCAUGUUAGAUUUGAUGAUAAGCUUGACCCUGAAAAGUCAAAGCUAGUUGAAAAGUUUGCAGAUUUAGAGAUCACUCUGGUAGAAUCUGAGAAAACUCCAGAAGCAACUGUCACUCCAGACUCUGAAGAAAUUAAAUCUCCAGAAAUUCCAAGGAAAGUCAAGAGUCGUAGCAACGUAUCUGAAGAUUUGAUUUUGGGAAACAAAGAUGAACCUGUUAGAACCAGAUCUACCUUCAGAACUUCUGAAGAUAUUCCUCUGGGACUAGUGUCUCUGAUUGAGCCUACGUCCUGUGAUGAAGCUCUUCAAGAUAACGAUUGGGUGGCAGCUAUGCAAGAAGAGUUAGAUCAAUUCUCCAAGAAUGAUGUCUGGGAUCUCGUUCCUAAACCCAGAGGCACUCAUGUCAUUGGAACCAGAUGGGUUUUCAGAAACAAACUGAACGAGAAAGGAGAAGUUGUCAGAAACAAAGCACGACUGGUAGCUCAAGGUUAUAGUCAACAAGAAGGUAUUGAUUAUAAUGAAACUUUUGCUCCAGUCGCAAGGUUAGAAUCUAUUCGUCUUCUUGUAUCUUUUGCUAUUAAUCACUCUAUCAAAUUAUACCAAAUGGAUGUCAAGAGUGCAUUUCUUAAUGGUUAUAUUUCAGAAGAAGUGUAUGUCAAUCAACCUCCAGGUUUUGAAAAUUCAAACUUUCCAGAACAUGUUUUCAAACUUAAGAAAUCCUUAUAUGGACUUAAACAAGCUCCCAGAGCUUGGUAUGAACGCUUAAGUAAUUUUCUUCUGGAACAAAAUUUUAUCAGAGGGAAAGUUGAUUCUACACUCUUCUGUAAAAAUCAUAAAAAUGAUCUCAUGAUAUGCCAAAUUUAUGUUGAUGACAUUAUUUUUGGUUCUGCUAAUAUCUCUGUUUGCCAAGAAUUUUCUAAGUUAAUGCAGGCAGAAUUUGAAAUGAGUCUAAUGCAAGAACUAAAGUUCUUUCUGGGAAUUCAAAUUAAUCAAACUCCAGAAGUCACGUACAUUCAUCAAAGCAAGUACAUUAAAGACGUUCUGAAGAAGUUUGAUAUGUCUGAAUGCAACUCUGCAAAGACUCCUAUGCACCCAACUUGCAUUCUGGAAAAGGAAGAGGUAAGCAACAAGGUUUGUCAGAAGCUCUAUCGAGGUAUGAUAGGCUCUCUUCUCUAUCUGACUGCUACUCGUCCUGAUAUUCUCUUUAGCGUCUGUCUUUGUGCCAGAUUCCAAUCAGAUCCUAGAGAAUCUCAUUUAACAGCUGUUAAGAGAAUUCUUAAGUAUCUGAAAGGAACUCCUAACCUGGGCCUGAUGUAUGAGAAAACAUCAGAGUAUAGGCUUUCUGGUUAUUGUGAUGCAGAUUAUGCAGGAGAUAGAAUAGAACGAAAAAGCACAUCUGGAAAUUGCCAGCUUCUGGGAAACAAUCUAAUCUCCUGGGCUAGCAAAAGACAGUCAACUAUCGCUCUAUCAACUGCAGAAGCAGAAUAUAUCUCAGCAUCACUGUGCACAACUCAGAUGCUCUGGAUGAAACAUCAGCUAGAAGAUCUUCAAAUCUUUGAGAGUAACAUUCCUAUCCUUUGUGAUAAUACUGCUGCUAUUUGUUUGAGUAAGAAUCCUAUUUUACAUUCCAGAGCCAAACACAUAGAAAUUAAACAUCAUUUUAUUAGAGACUAUGUUCAGAAAGGAAUAGUAACGCUGAAGUUCAUUGAUACAGAACAUCAAUGGGCAGAUAUCUUUACUAAGCCUCUAGCUGAAGAUAGAUUUCUUUUCAUCUUAGAAAAUCUGAACAUUAAAAAUUGUCCUGAGUAAAAUUUGGCUCUGAACAUGUAAAAUGAGACUCUGAUAAAAACAAAUACACUUCUGCCUCUGACUCUGAUACUUCUACCAAGUUAAGAAGAUAUCUGAGUUAGAAAUCUUCAGAAAUCCUUUGGUAUUCCUGAAGAUCAGAUACAUCAACACGUGGGGAACAUGCGUCUAACCCUAGAACUUCUAGACAGCUGUCAAAAGAAAUCAAAGGUCAGAACGCUUGAAAUCUCCUCGAGCAGUGUGCUUACUGUUGGGAUUAGACAUUCAUUAAUUAGCUAUAAUCAUUUUUCCCCCAAACGUGCUAUUUUGGUUUUUGUGCUAACGCUGGUAUGUGUGUCGUUUUGCAUGUGUUUUUACCCUUAGUAUAUAAACACUUUCUCUCACUUUUCACACUUAUCACUCUCACUCACUCUAAAACCCUAAACCCUUCUCUGAAAGUUCUCUGCAAGUUCUUCAUCUUCUUCAAUCUCCAUCAUCUUCAUCAACAUGGACGCUCAACAACAAGAACUCUUCAACCAUUCUCAACAAGUGGAAUCUAGUUCCAAUCCCCAAACCUCAAACACUCAAACACCCACGGUUAUAAGCGUCACCACAACCCCAGUUUACAAAGAACCUCACAUUCUUGACCGUGAACAACACAUUCAUCUUUCAACUCCCUUUGAAGGUUUGGAUGUACUGUGUGAAUCGCUGGUGGAUUUUGAGAAUUUGAGAAGAAAUGGCGUUGAUUUAACUGAAGAUCUUCGCAAGCAAGGUUGGGAAACCUACUUCAACAGAUUGUAUGGUCCAAUCUAUCCUCUUCUGGUGAAAGAAUUCUGGAGAUGUGCAGAUGCUGAUGAUGAGUUCAUUGUUUCUUUUGUUCUGGGAGUGAAGAUCAUCAUCACAGAAGCAUCUAUUGCCUCUUUGCUGAACAUGGAGAGAACUGGAGGUAAAAGGAUUUACAACAUUCCUCCAAGGUCCAAGCGCAUCACAGAAGUCAUUAACCCUACAAUCUUCAAAGCAAAUGUUGAAGGAAACCCAUCUAAGAACAAGGAGCUUCAUCAGAACCUCCGAGUUUGGCUGAAGAUUAUUCUGGGAACAAUCCAUCAUCGUCCAGCCUCCAACUCUUCAGAUUAUAUAAAUGCUGAUCAGAAAUGCAUCCUCUACUGUAUUCAGAAGGGUAUUCCAAUCAACCUCCCUGUUCUCCUCUUCAGAUAUCUGAGGGAUUCAGUCAGAGAAACAAGGAAUAAUAUGAAGCCCAGAUCCUACAUUCCUCUGGGAAGAUUGCUCUCUGACAUCUUCAUUGAGCAUGGGCUGGUAGAUGCUCUGGAGAAGACCAGAUGUAUGGAUGAUCUGGCAAUUGACGUUGGAAAGCCUCUGAAUGCCAAAAAUCUGAGGAGUAUGGGAAUCAUCAAAGACAUCAGAGUCAAGCCCACUAUGAAUGUAACCUGGGAAGCUCUGAAGGAUCAGAGGAAGAUGCCUCAUGGCCUUGAAAGGUUCUUCAAGAAUGAACCCAGAGAUGCCAUUGCUAUCUACCUUCAGGAUCGUCUGGAUGAAGGCAUUGAUAUCUCUGAUUUCCGCCUUGAAGACUGUCUGGACUCUGUAGAAGAUCUGGUCAGAUACAAAAGAGGUCUUUCUGAGAAGAAGAUAGCUGAGGAAGCAAGGAAGGCAAAGAAAGCCAGACUUGGAGAAACCUCUGGCACCAAAGCUUCAGCACCUCUGAAUGUCUCCUCUGGUAAGUCCAUUCCUCCUGUCUCUUCUGAAUCUGUAAUGGCUUCCUCUAACCCUCUCUCCUCUCAACCAAUAUAUACCACCGCUGAAAUACCACCUUCAACCAUCAGAACCUCUCAACCUCCACCUGUUCUAAAAAUUGCUCGUAAUUUCACAACAACCUCUGACCCUAAUCAACUAUAUCACCACAGCUCUUCCUCAUCCUCUGAAUAUGAAUCACCCCCUUACCUUUCCCCUUCUUCUGACCAAGAGUUCUCUGAACAAGAGUCCUCUGACCAAGAACACUCUGACCCAAACUCCCCAACAAUAGCUGAAAUUUAUGCUAAAAAUUUCGCUCCACAACCCUCAAGACAAUCUGAAGUAACCUCUCCCCUCCAAACUUCACUUCCACCACAACAAACAACAACCUUACCCUCUGAAACUCAACCAUCUGAUCCCUUCACCUCUAAUAUCACUCCACCAUUUAUUCCCGCUGUACCUGGACCAGACUCUGACCCUUUAGACCUAAAUCCACUAUAUGCUUCAUCCCCUAGUCUUCAACCAGACGCAGAUUCUGAACUUCAAGCAGAAUCUGAACCUCAACAAACUGAACCUCAACCUCUAAAUCUCAGCCCUCAAAACUCUCCACCUCAUUCACCUGAACCUGAACCUGAACUUACCAUACCUACCCUUGAGGAGGCCAUUAUACAGGUUGCAGAAGCUUCAGUCCAGAAGAUCAAGUCUCUGGCUAAAAACUCUGAAGUUAGUGAUGAUCCUAAAUCUGUUAGGACACACUGGAACAGAGUCAUUAGUUGGAUGACCUCUGAGUCUUAUAGGCUGAAGAGUAUCUCUGAACAAGUCAGAAAUGGCUACAUCAGAGACUCUGAGGAAAGACUCCAAGAGAGACUGGCUAGAGAAGCUGAGGCCAGAAGGUUAGAGGAAGAGAGACUGGCUAGAGAAGCUGAGGCCAAGAGAUUAGAGGAAGAAAGAUUGGCUAGGGAAGCUGAAGAAGAAGCUAAGAGGUUGGAAGAAGAACGCCUGGCAAAGGAAGCAGAACUUCUAAGGAUUCAGGAAGCUGAAGCCAAGGCUAAGGCAGAUGCAGAAGCCCAAGCUGCUGCUGAAGCUGAAGCUCAGCAGGCUCUGAUUCAGGGGGAGUCUUCCUCUGCGAUCCCUCUGAUUCUUAACACUCUGAAGGAGAUCAAGCAAGAUCAGAAAGAGAUCAAGCAAGAUCAGAGUGAGCUCCGGGCAAGGAUGGACAAGCAAGACGCUCUGAAUGAAAACCUCCAGAAUAUGUUUGCUAUGCUACUACAGAGACUUCCUCCUCCUCCAAACCCUUAGGCACUUAGGAUUUCUUUUGUUUGCCUAGUGUUUUUGCUUCUGUCUUUUCUUUUUUUUCUCUGAUAUUUCUGUUGAAUCUGAUGUUUUGACUGCUGCUUGCCUUUGUGCUUUUGUUUAAUGAAGUGUUUUUCUCUCUAUUAUUUUUUUUAUGUUUUAUGCCUUUUUGAUUAUGCCAAAAAGGGGGAGAAAUUAUUAAAUAGCUCUGAUGAAAAUUAUGUCUAAAACCUUAAGCAUUCUGCAACAAUUAUAGAAAUAGUUCUGAUAUAAAUAGCUCUGAUUAAAUAAUAGCUCUGAUUAAAUAACUCUAACAUUAAAAUUAAGAAAUUGCAGAAAGUUUUCAGAAAUCUCAUUGCUUGGAAAGCUCUGGUAAGAACUUCUGAACUCCCUAGUACUAACUCAGGGGGAGCUUUUGUCUAUCUGAUCUAAUAUUUUUCAUGUUUCAUCUGAUAAUUUUAUUUGUUUUGUCAUCAUCAAAAAGGGGGAGAUUGUAAGAACAAAAAUUGUUCUACAACAGAUUCCAUGAUUUUGAUGAUAACAAAGGAUGAAACCAAAAAUGGCACCCUAACGAAAAGUUUCUAAGUGUGCAGGGUUCUAAAGAAAGAAGAAAUAAAUCUGAUGAUGUCAUCAGAUGCAAAACAAGAUCAGAUGCAAAAUCUCAAGUAUCAGAAGCAUCUAAAGAGGAAUCUCGUUUCAAGAAGCUCUGACUCUGGACAAAACUACAAAGUAUCAGAAGCAUCUGAACAUGAAGUAAAGUCUAGAAGCUCUGACUCUGAACAAAUGCCUUCUGUAAAUUCUGAAGUUAUCAGCGCCAUCUGAACUUUCAAGAGAUAACAUCAGAAGCCAGUUUCUCCAGAUACACAAAGACUCUAAUCAGAAUUGUUAAUCAUGAUGAAGUAACGUUUAAGCCAAGUUAAAGUUCUGCAAAUGGAUUUCCUCAAUUAGAAAGAGACGUUAAUCUCCACUUCCAAGAGAGAAGAUACUAAUUGUGGUAAGUAGUCACUUCUAAGAGAAAAAGUCUACUGCAGAAGCUAUUAAUGGAAUGGCGUAACUACAUCUCAAUAUCCAACAGAUUCAACGCUACUUCAACUCUACUUCAACUCCUAUAAAUAGAGAAGAAAUCUCAUUCAGUAAACACGAAGAAAUCACUAGCCAAAACUAUACUGAAAUCAUAUCACGCUCAAGAAAAACAUCUUUGUUCUUCAAAGAUUUUCACUAAGCUUUUGCUUAUCAAGUGAAAAAUUUGUUCUUAAGUUUGUAAUAUUUGCUUUCUUAGAAGCACUCUAGAUUACACAUCUUGUAUCUAAUUUUUAUUUGAUUUCCUCAAGUGACUCUUUGUAGUCUGUAGACUUGAGAGGACUAAGAGAUUUUCUUCUCUCUUAGGGGUUGUUUGUAAUCUUUCAAGAUUAGUGGAUUAAGUCCUUGUUGAAGGCGAAAUCACCUUGGCCGGGUGGACUGGAGUAGCUUUGUGUUAUAAGCGAACCAGUAUAAAAUCUUUGUGUGAUUUCAUUUUGCAAAAGCGCUUAUUUUUCAAACAAUUCAAACCCCCCUUUCUUGUUUUUCUCACCUUCAAGUUUCACAAUUCUUUGAUGAACUAAAAUGCAAUUGAGGACUCCGCGUCUUUGAGUCAUAAAUCAUGGAGACUCAUAAUGCGUCCAAAAAUGCAUAUCCAAAAUUUAAGUGGCAUUUUCAAAUUUUUAUAGGAUGGUUUUCCAACACUUAUGUAGAGAUAAACAAUUUCGUAAUUAAAGGUCUCUAAGAGGAGUUGAAAUAAAUAUAUUUAAAAAAUUAGUAACAUAAUUAUUUAAGGAAUAAAGUUUUCUAACCAAAAGAAUUUUUCCCUAAUUUUUUUGUGCCUAAUUUAUUUUGCUAACAAAGUAAAGCCCUGAUUAUUGUUACUAAAUUUUAGUAAUUUUCAUUCAUCUCUCAAUUAAUAUCUCUUAUAAUCCUCAUUAACUCUCAAUUAAUGUAAUUCAUAUCUAUCAAAAAAAAUUGAAAAUUUUGUAUCUAGGCUUGGGACCAACUAGUUUAGUGAAUUGCUAAUUUCAUCUUAAGUGUUGGAAAUAUGCCCUAUAAAAUUUUGAAAAUACCCUUUUGAAUCCGAAAAUGCAUCUUCGAACGCACCUUACGCCUCACUAAAACACACCUCAACUUGUUGAUGUUUUUUAUGUAAUUCAAGUGAUGUAACCAGUUAUCUCGGGUAGGUAACCGGUUACAUAAAUGUCUAAAGUUCAAUCAAGUAGCAAAAAUGUGGAGUUUUUGAAGGUGUAACCGGUUAACCAUUUUGGUGUAAACGGUUACCACAAAAGCUGAUUUAAUUCAAUGUCAGGUGUAACCGAUUAUCCAUUUUUGUGUAACAUUACAAGCGUAAUAUUUUGAUUUUUCCUGCUAUUUUACUUGGUCAAUUCAGUUCCCAAUUGUGUUGUAUCUCUUGUAUAAGUGUUUAGAAUGCACACUCAUCUAAGGUUAAUGCAAUAAUAAUCUCUCCCCCUUAAUUCUCCUCUUUCACACUCCACAUCCAAAGUAUCUCCAUCAUUGUUCACCAAACUUGUGGUCUCUUGUUCCAAAAUUUGACAUCAAGAGUCUGGUUCAGAUCCACAAACACCUAGUGUGCAACAUGAAUUAUGUUUCCAAUGAAAGAAUUCCUGCAAACCUACCUAUCUUUGAUGCGAAGAAUUAGGAUAAACGGUGCAAGGAAAUGAAGAUGUUGUUUGGAUACCAAGAUGUUCUUAAAGUAAUCAAUAAGGAUGUUACUCCUCUUAUUCAAAAUGAAACAGAGGCGCAACAAGCAACACAUAAGGAAGAGAAGAAGAAAUAGUUCAAUGUGUUGAUGGCGAUGAUUUUAAGAAAGUUGAUGAUUGUGAAUCGUCAAAGUAAGCGUGAGAGAUCUUAGAGAAGGCAUGUGCAUGGGUUGACAAGGAAAAGGUGGUGAGGUUACAAACUCAUAAACGUCAGUUUGAAUUGAUUCAAAUGGAGGAAAAGGAGAUAAUCAAUGAUUUUGCAAUGAGAAUCACUCGGUUGGUGAAUCAAGUGAAGGCAUGCAAAGAAACUGUUACGGAGUUGUAUGUUGCUGCUAAAAUCUUGUGUUCUUUAACACCAAGAUUUAACAGUAUAGUUGUGGCAAUUGAUGAGUCAAAGGAUCCCGCGACGAUGAGCAAAGAGGAGUUGCAAAGUUCUCUUGAGGCUCAUGAGAAAAAGAUGGAAAAGAGGAAUAACGAUAAGGCAAAGGCGGAGAUUGCUUUGCAAGCUCGUUUCAAUGAGAAGGACAAGAGAUCGAAAGGAAAAUGGCCCAAGAAAAGAAAAGGGAAUUUUCAUAAUUUGGGUGGAAGAGAGUCCUAAAAUUCAAAUGAUUUGACUUGUCAAAGGGGUGAGAGCAGCUACAAUAAACAUGGUGGUCAAGGAAACUUUAGAGGUAGAAGGAAGAAGUUUGAUAAGAGCAAGGAGAUGUGCUAUAAGUGUCAAUGGUUCGUUCAUUUUGCAAAAAAAUACAAUGUGAACAAGAAAGAAUCUCAAGGGAUUAAACCAAGGUUGCAAGAUAAGAGUUUGAUGAAGAGAAUAUAAUUUUGGUCAUGAUCAAAGAAGGGAAUUAUAGCAGCAAACAACUGUGGGACAACAGCGGCAAUAAAUCAAAGAAUGCUAAAAAGGUCGGUUGAAUGAUACGAUUAACCGAUCGCAUGAAGAGGAAGAUACCAUGAUGAGUUUGAAAGGAGUUCAAUGUAGUGAUGAGUGGUAUUUGGACUUGGGUUGUUCAGCUCAUAUGACAGGAAUAAAGGAUUGGUGUGUCAAAAUCAAUCGUGCCAUGAAGAAUAAACUAAAGUUUGCAGAUGAAACCACCCUAAUGAUCGAUGGGAUCGAUGAUGUUUUGAUCAUGAGAAGGGAUAAUGGACAUUACUUAAUCACAAAUUCUUGUACAUUUUUGGAAUCAAAUUUAACCUUCUAAGUAUUGGCCAAUUGCUUGAGAAGGAUUCCAAGAUUCACAUGGAAGACAAUGGGUUGUGCGUUAUGGAUAUAAGAGGAGGCUUGGUCCUUAAAGCGCAUAUGGCUGCCAAUAGAACCUUUAAGGUUGAGUUGAAGGUUAUAGAGUAUAAAUGUCUUGCUACUACAUCAAGUAGACAACAGUGGAUAUGGCACUAUCGUCUUAGACAUCUCAAUUUUAGAGAUCUCAAAGACUUUCAAAAGAACAUAAUGGUAACAGGGCUGCCAUUGAUCAACAUACUAGCUGAAAUUUGUGAAGAAUGUGUGCAAGUGAAGCAACAUAAGGGAAAAUUGAGCAAGUAGACUCUAUUGGUGGAAAUAUGUAUUUUGUCACAUUUAUCGAUGAUCAUAGUACAAAACUAUGGACAUACCUAAUCAAGAUAGAUGACAAUGUAUUUCAUGAUCGUCCGUCAUUGCAUAUAUUUAGUCGAAGAAUCAGACAAAACAAGUGAAAGUUAAGAUAAAAUGAAGAAGAAUAAGGAAAAAAUAUCUAAGCAUGGAAACUGGGGACUUAUUGAAAUUUUGAGUAAAAAAGGGAGCAAAAGUGUGCAACCACUGGAAUAAUCAUGCGCACCAUCACGUAGCAUCGUGCACACAAUGGGGUCUUUAAAGUUGCAUCGCGCAUGCGAUACAAGGAAUCACGCGCGUGAUAAAUACUUUUUAUGGGCUUUUCAGACGCGUUCUGGUCCAUUCUAACGCCUUUAAAAGGGGAUUUUCUGAACUUUCACAAGAGUUACAAAAUUGGGAGAUCUAGGCACUACUUUGAGAGCACAAGUGGUGAUUUUUAUAACAUUAGAAGUUAUUGGAGACCAUUACUUCAACGUAUUUCACAUGUUAUUUUCAUCUAUCAAUUAUGAUAUUUUUAAUUGCAUUAUGAGUAGCUAAGCUCCUCUAGAUUAGGUUGUAUACUGAUGAACCUAUUUCUAUAUUGUUGGAAUCUAUGUUGAUUUAACAAUUGUGUGAACCUUUUGAACUAUAAUUCCAUUCAAUUGCUUCUUGUUCAUAAUGCUUUUUAUGUGAGAUGAUAUUUUAAUAUGAUUUUGGGAACAUAAGGAAUACUGACCAUUAGUCUAUGUGUUGGACCUAGGGAAAUUGUUGUACUUACGCUGGUUGAAUAGGAAUAGGAGACCCUGAGUAGUGGCGUAGAGAAUUAACGCUUUAUACAUCGCCUAACCCUGCUUACGCUGGAGGACUAAGGAUAAAAAGCUCUGAGUGGUGGUUAGUGAGUUAUUUCAUGAGGGAUCAACUAUAACAGUUUUGUUAAUUCGUCGUGGUGUUAUAGUGAUAAGACCAUUCGUACAAGACAUCAAACAUCAACAAUAGAGGAAUAUGAGAUUUUAAAACACAACUUGGCCGCUUUCGUGAUAUUGUUUAAUUGUUUAUUUACUUUUUGCACAGAAACUCAACCCCCCCCCCCCCNNNNNNNNNNNNNNNNNCCCCCCCCCCCCUUUACUAGUUUUUUAUAAAUUGCACACAUUUUGUCUUGCUUGAACGAAGUUCACGUGGAUUCGAUCUUUUUAUUACUUCGACGAUGUCAAUACACUUGUCGAGAAGUCAUCAAGUUUUUGGCGCUUUUGCCAGGGACUAUUAAUUUUUCAUCAAGGCGAUGUUUGUGCAAUUUUUUUUAGUCUUUAAAUUUUAUGUUUUAUUUUCUUGUUUCUCAAAAUGCUAUUGAGGUAUUUUCUAUUUGUGUAUGUACCGUUCAGGAUCAACAUUAAUACCAUUGGAUCCAAAAAUUGAAAGAAACGCACAUGCUCUCAGAAAAGCUGUUAGAGGAGCAACUCUGGAAAGAGGAAUACUAGAAGAAGAGUAAUUAUCAAGUUAGUCAUACUCUGAAGAUGAAGCUGUAAUGGCAGAUGCACAACCCCUAACUAUGGGGGAUUAUUAUAAAUGAACCGAUGAAGGACACUUCUCCAGAGGGUUUGUACCGGUAGACCCUUCUAACUUUGAUAUUAAAAAUUAUGUGCUUUAAGGUUUGAGAGAAAAUUUGUUCGGCAGGAACACGAUUAGAGACCUAUGGGUGCAUCUUACACACUUCUAUGAAACAACUUCAAUGUGAAAAUCAAUUGAUGCCACUGAAGACCAGGUUAAAUUGAGGUUGUUUGGGUUCUCACUAAUUGGAAGGGCGAAGAUUGGUUACUUUUCCUCCCGAAUGGAACGAUACGAACAUGAAAGGAAUUAGAGGAUAAAUCCCUGGAAAGAUUUUUCACUACUACUCAGUUUACCGAGCGCUAAGCAGAAAUUGUGAGGUUUGAGCAGUAGGAAAUUGAGUCACUUUAUGACUCUUGGGAAAGAUUCAAACUUUUGUUACGCAGAUGCUCGAAUCACAACAUGAAUAAUAUAGAGCAGAUGCAAAACUUCAUUAAAGGUCUCAAAGUCAAACUCACGUAUUUUUGGAUGCUUCUACGAGAGGUACUAUCUGAAAAAUGAAUGAACCAUGGGUAAAAGAUAUCAUUGAGAAAAUGUGUAUAAUUGAGUACCGAUCCAAGAACGAAAGGUCGAUCAAGAUGGGAACUGUGGGCACGCCUAAAGGUAUGUUACCUAUUGAUACCCACAUUGCUCUUUUAGCUCAGAUUGAAUUAUUAAAUAAAAAGCAAGCUGGAAGAAGCUUAGUUAAAGCUAACGUAAGUCAGGUACAAGCACUUAAAAGCGAUUUAUAUGGAGGAUAACAUGCGAAUGGAAGUUGUUCAUUGGAAGGGACAAGUGAGGAGGUAAAAUUUUAUAAUUUUUAAAAAAAAUAACUUGUAUUCAAACACAUAUAAUCCGGGUUAAAAAGACCACCCAAAAUUCCUUUGGAAUAAUAAUCAAAAUUCAAAUGCUAACUAAGGGAUGCAACAAAGCCAACAAGCUCUGUUUCAAAGAAAUCCAUCACAAAUGGUAGAGACCUUGAAAAUUUUCAUUAAGGUCACUCAAAGUAGCUUUGCUAGGGUAAAUAAGACCCUUGAAGAAAUGAGUAGAAACUAGGAUGCGUCUAUCAAAAUUUUGGAGAUGAAGAUUGGUCAAUUAUCCAGACAAGUAGCUACUUUUCCAAGCUCAAGUGGAGGAUUCACCAGUAACAUUGUUGAUAACCCUAAGAAUGAUAACCCUAAAUAUAGGUUUAGGGGAAAUUACUGAAAAGGAUAAGGAGGAGAUAGUUAAAGAACGUGUGGUUAAGAUAGAUGAGGGUACAAAUCAAGGUGACCAAGAGGAAAGAGGAGACAUCAUUGAUCAACUUAUUGACAAAAAUUCUCCUCGGGGGAGAACAAAGAAGCAGAUCAUGACUGAACCAAAUCCUCCUUUACCAGAUCACGUAAAACCACCGUACCCAAUAAUUAAAAAGAAAGUGGUUUAAGAUGAUGAAGCGAGAAUGUUUGCAAAGUUCAAGGAAAUUCUAGCUACUCUCCGGGAAAGUAUUUCGUUCCAUGAAAUUUUAGAACUAAUGCCUAAGUUUGCUAAAUUUAUGAAGGCGUUACUAAAUGGGACGGAAGAGAAAAGGAUCAAGGAACAUGUAAACAUGACCGAAAAGAAUGAUAUGGUAAAACCUCAAUCCUUACAACCUAAACUAAAAGACUCAAGUAAAUUUAUGAAGGAGUUAUUAAAUGGGACGAAAGAGAAAAGGAUCAAGGAACAUGUAAACAUGACCGAAAAUGAUGAUAUAGUAAAACCUCAAUCCCUACAACCUAAACUAAAAGAAUUAGGUAAGUUUACUAUUUCCUAUAAUAUUAGUGGAUUCAAUAUUCUGCAUGCUCUAUGUGAUAUGGGAUCUAACAUAAAUGUCAUGCCACCGAAAACUGUCAAAGAAUUAAAAGUGGGUGAGAUCACACCGAGUAACAUGACUCUCAGUCUAGUUGAAUUGUCUAUUACUCAUUCAAUUGGUACUUUACGCGACAUAUUAGUACCUAUCGACGACUUAUUGUUUCCUAUAGAUUUUAUAGUGCAUGAUACAAAAGAAGAUUCGGGAGGAUCUAUUAUUCUUGGACAUCCAUUCUUGGCAAUCGGGAAAGCAAAAGAUUGAUGUGUAAACUGGUCAACUUAUCUUGAAGUCAAAUAAAAGGAAUGUGGUUUUCAAGGUAUAUGACUGGACACCUUAUGUGGAUAAUUUGGAUACUUUCUACUAUCUGGAUGAAAAAGGUAGGAAAGUAGAUAAAGGAACAAUGAGAAAGAAAGUGACAGGCGUGAGGGUGUCCCUUGCGCCUGACGUACCUUAGACAUGGAUUAUCAAGCUAGUGAUGUUAAAAAAGUGUUUGAUGGGAGGCAACUCAUCAAUAAGAAUUUAUUUUUUUAUCAUAGUGAAUAUUAAUUUUUCUAACCUUGUUAAUUUUUGUGCUAUGUUAUUGGAAGAGAAAAUAGGUGAAAGAAGAAAAGAAAGAAAAAGCAAAAGGGAAGAAAAUAGAAAAAGAAAAGAGAGAGGAAAGUUUCAUCCCCCAGAAUCAUCACGUAUGAUAAUAUAAACUAGUUCUUUACAAUAAUAAAAUUUGAUAUUUAUUUAUACAAACACAAUUAUAUAAAGAGAAUAACACACAAAUCACACAUGAUAAUUUUAGAAUAAUUAUACUCUAAUAUUUUUUGAGUCGUGAUAUAUCCUCUUCUUAAAUAUUUGAAAGUUGAAUCUCUCUCACUAAUCUCUAUUCCCCUAUUUAUUUUAAGAAUAAACAUAUUGAAUUAAUAAAACAUAAUUGCACCUUUCUUAAAGGUUAUACAAACAACUACUAAAGUUGAAAAAACUAAAGAGAGGUCAACUCAAUCUUUAUCAAAUUAAAUUAAAGUUUAUUAUAAAACACAAACAACUAGUUCAUUCAAAUGAUAACUUGUUUAGUACACAAGUAAGAUCUUACUUAAUACAUAGAAAUAAGAUCUUACAGAAUAUAGAGAUUAAAAACAUAGGAAUAACAUGAAAAGCUUUUAAAAUGACAUAGACAUUGAUUAACAAAGAUAUGAACUAGUUUCGGGUAUUUCUUAACCAUCCGUCAAGGUAAACUUGUUUGGAGUCAGGGGUGGAUUUUGCUUUCUCGACUCGGAUAUCUUUCAACCAUCCAUCAAGGUAAACCUGGUUGUUGUCAGAGGUGGAUUUUACUGUCUCGGCUCGGAUAUCUUUCAACCAUCCAUCAAGGUAAACUUGUUUUGGAUCAGAGGUGGAUUUUGUUUUCUCUGCUCGGGUAUCUUUCAACCACCCAUCAAGGUAUACUUGGUUGGAGUCAGGGGUAGAUUUUAUUCUCUCGUUUCGAUAAUCUUUCAACCAUCCAUCAAGGUAAACUUGGUUGGAGUCAGACAUGGUUUCUGUUUGCUUUGCUCGAGUAUUUUUCAACCAUCCAUCAAGGUAAACUUGGUUGGAGUCAGAGGUAGAUUUUUCUUUCUCAGCUCGGGUAUCUUUUAACCAUCCAUCAAGGUAAACUUGUUUGGAGUCAAGAUUUUUCUUUCUCAGCUCGGGUAUCUUUUAACCAUCCAUCAAGGUAAACUUGUUUGGAGUCAGAGGUGGAUUUUGUUUUCUCUGCUCGGGUAUCUUUCAACCAUCCAUCAAGGUAAACUUGAUUGGUGUUAGGCAUGGACUUUUCUUUCUCAACUCUGAUAUUUUUCAACCAUCCAUCAAGAUAAACUUGGUUGGAGUCACUUGUAGAUUUUGUUUUCUCAACUCGGGUAUCUUUCAACCAUUCAUCAAGGUAAACUUGGUUGGAUUCAGAGGUGGAUUUUGCAUUCUCUGCUCUGGUAUCUUUCAACCAUCCAUCAAGGUAAACUUGGUUGGAGUUAGGUGUUGACUUUUCUUUCUCAACUCUGCUAUCUUUCAACCAUCCAUCAAGAUAAACUUGGUUGGUGUCACCUGUAGAUUUUGCUUUCUCAGCUCGAUUAUCUUUCAACCAUCCAUCAAGGUAAACUUGGUUGGAUUCAGAGGUGUCUUUUGCUUUCUUUGCUCUGGAAUCUUUCAACCAUCCAUCAAGAUAAACUUGAUCGGAGUUCUGGGAGGAUUUGGUUUUCUCUGAUCGUGUAUCUUUCAACCAUCCAUCAAGAUAAACUUGGUUAGAGUUAGCAAUGUGUUUUCGACUCUUCAAUGGAUUUUUGAGCCAACCAUCAAGGUAAGGUUGAUCAGCUUGUAUUUCUUGUACAUUCUCUUGCUGAAGUUUGAUAUAUCGGGCAAAGCUUCCUUGUCCAUUCUAUAAUACAAUUGAAUAAAUGGAUAUUAGUGAGUUAUUUUUGGAUGGUAUAUAUGAUUACAAAAACAAAAUUAUGUGUUUUAUGAGACACAUUAUGUUACAUAAAUAAGACACAUUCAUUGUAUAUUUCAGAUGGAUAUAGAAUGCGAAAUAAAAAUCAAAGAAAAACAAUUUUUUAAAUUUCAUUGCCGCAUAGAAAAUAUUAUUUUGUCAAAUUAAAUAGAACAACUUGAUUAAGUGAAUGAUGAAAUCAAAUCAAAUAAAGAUGCAAAAUGAUAGAUUGUGAUAAAUAAAUGAUGAAAAAUAUAUGUGUAAAAGAUACAAGAAUGGAUGCAUAACUUACAAUCAAUAAGAGCAUGAUAAAAGGGAGGAGAGACAAAACAUCUUUGUUUGUCAUUUCUUUAAUGUUAUGAUUUUGUGGGAAAAUUGUUUUAAUGUAAAAAGAUGUAUUGAAAUGGAAGUGAAUUGUGCUAUUUAUAAGUGAAUGAAAAGAAAAACUACAUUAAGGACAUUGAGACUUUGGUUGGCAAGAUUAUUUUUUUAAAUAUUUAGUUUAAAUUAUUUUUUAAAUGUUUAGUUUAAUUGAUAAGUUUAUAUGUCUAAGAAAGAUCAAUUUACUAAGAUUUAUUAUUUACAAGAUCUAUUAGGUGUGUUGUUUUGAGUUAUAAAAAAUAUUAAAAAAAUUGUUUGUUUGAUAUAUUUUUUUAAUUAGAAGCUCCUAACUAAAUCCUCUUAGUUUAAAAUAAAUAAAUUUUAGAACUGCUACUGCAAUUAUUUUUAUUUUAAAAUUAAAAAUGAUUUUCUAAAAAUCCUUAAUAAAAACAUAUUAAAAUGACAAAGGUGAUUUUGUUAAAUGUUAAACAAACAUUUAUUUUGAUAAGUUAUUUCAAAUAACUUAAAAUUUCAUAAAUUUAUUUUAAUUUAUAAUUAAAGUGGUAAUUAUGAUAAUCUCGCCUCUUGAGUUCUAAUAUUUGAGCUAAUAGUAUAAAUAUGUUUUAGUUGAAUUAGAAUUUGCAUUAGUGAUAGUUUCAAUUUUACAAUUAAUUAGACUAAAAUAUUGAUGUUCGUCAUAUAUAUAUAUAUAUAUAUNUAUAUAUAUAUAUAUAUAUUAAAUAGUAAUUAUAUAUUAUAAAUUUUAAUUUUGGGAAAAAAAUAUUAUUUCAAUAUUUUAAAAUUUUAAUAAUUAUUGUUUUAUAAAAUUAAUUAUAAUGAGUAUAAUAUUUUAAUUUUAUUAUCAUCAAAUAUACCCUACAUCAAAAUUCACAAACUUUAAAUAUAAAUAUCGGGAUCCACUUAAUUGAAUUGGAAUUUAAACAUCAAAAUUUAGACAAAUGUUAAAUUUUGAAGCACUUGGUUUUUGAAUCAUGACUCUUCUACAACCAACUCCUAGGGACUUACUACAUAGCCAACAAUGAAUCCAAAAUAGUUUCACAAGAAACACUAAAAUACUGUGUUGGCCUUUGCAUGUUUAAGAUGUUCACAUGUAGCUGGGGUUUGCGUGCUUAUGAGCUUACCUAAUAGUAAGUUAAAAAAACAAUAUAUUAUUAUACUGACCAGUCUAAAGAGAAAUAGAUAAGUUACUGUAUUUGUUAUUAUAAUCAAAUAUUAUCUAAAAAAGAAAUAAAUUAUAAGGAAUAUGUUUUCAUUAUUUUUAUCUUUAUUUAAAGAAUAUAAAUAUUUUUUAAUUAAUGAUAAAUAAUUGAUUUUAAAUGUGAUUACGGUUUAUAUCUUUAUCUAAGAAAAUAAAUGAUAAAAUGUGAAUACUCAUAUCUAAAAUUAAAUAUUUAUCCAAUUAUGUAGGCCAGCCUCAUAUUUAUUGUAAAAAUUUUAACAAAGUUUAAAAUAAUGAAAAUUAGAAUAAUGGUAUUCCUACAUUAAAUCUUACAUCAAAUACUUACAUUAAAUAUUUUUUACCGUAUUUAAACGAUGAAUAAUAUUUUUAUUUUUAAUAAAAAAAUAUUUAUAUAAAAAUGUUUUUAUUUUUAAAAUUAUUUUUAUAAUAAAAAUAUAAAAUUUAUCACAAAAUAAUUUUAUUAUCGUAUUAACUAUAAAAAUAUAGGUUAUAAAUCACAUAUUUCACUUAUAAUUCAUUAACCAGUAAAAUACAUAAUAUUAAUCAAAUUAUGAUAUUAAAAUAUGAAAUAUAUAAUUUGCUUAAUUAUUAUAUUUUAUAUUUUAAUGUCACAAUUUAUUUAUAUUAUUUAUUUUAUUAAUUGAAUAUAAUAAUAAGUAAAAUAUAUGGUUAAUCAUCUAUAUUUUUAUGAUUAAUACAAUAAUAAAAUUGAUUAGUGACAAAUUUUAUAUUUAUAUUACAAAAAUAAUUAUAAAAAUAUAUCAAAAACGAGUUUAAGACAACGUAGGAAAAAGUGAAGUGACACUCAAAUAUUAUUUGCUCAUUAAGCAAUCAGUUAAAAUUAAAGUGAAUUAACGAAUUAAGCAUAAAGUUUCACACAAUCAAAAUUAGGGAACAAUAAAUCAAUCGAACAAAACAAAACUACUAAGUUUUGAGUGUAAAAUUUGGUGUAAUAUUAAAAAUUAAAAAAAAAUUGAGGUUUAUAAGAUGUAAAAUUAUUUAUUAAACUCUUUUAAUAAAUUUAAUAUUAUGAUAAUUUAUUAUGAUAAAUAAUAUUUAAAAUAAGAAAAGAUUGAGCUUUUAAAGGAUGAAAUUCUAGUCAUUAGAUUAAAGAAAACAUCACCAAAACCUUAUUUCACAGAUGAAAUCGACUACAUAUAUGAUAUAUCAAUUUUCACGCUAAUAUUCUAUCAAUCACCAUAUUUUAUAGCCAUUAGACUAUUUAAUCAAAAUUAUUCAUAAUAAAUUUCAUUUGAUAUUUACUUUUUAAUAGAUAAUAAAGUAGAUAUAUUUAAUCUUUAUUAAAAAAUUAUUAAACAUUAUUGGUAUUAAAUAUGAUUUUAUUAAUUUUAAUUUUGAUAUAAUUAAUGGAUAUAAGUAUUGGCUCAAGAUAUAUCAAAGCCUUUGCCAAAUUUUUAACAAAGAUUUUAAUAAUAAAAAUUAUGAGUGUAAUAUUUAAAAUAAAAAAUUGAGCUUUUUAAAAUGUAAAAUUAUUGAUUGAAUUAUCAUAAAUCAGUUAAGUGUGUAUUUAUGCAAGAUGGGACAUCCCAUUUGCAGGGGCACAAAUUCAACCCACAACAUCUCACUUUUUAUCUUGGAAAAUUCCAAUCAAUAAAUUACUUGAUCCAAAAAAAUCAUAGUAAAUCUUGUUUGAUAUUUAUUUUCAAUCAAAUAUAUGUAAUCCUUAAUGAAACCUUAAACAUUAUUGAUUUUAAAUAAGAUUUUAUUAACUUUAAUUUUAUACCAUUAAUAGAAGGACUAUAUUCUGGAACGAAUUAAUAUAUUUUCGUUAUUCUUAUUUUUAUUUAAAUAUUUAAAUAUUAUUUAAAUUAAUAAUAAAUAAUUGGUUUUAAAUGUGAUGAAGUUUAUAUCUUUAUCCGAAAAAAUAAACGAUAGUGAAUAUUUAUAUUAAAAAAUAACACAAUACACUUAAAUAUUUAAUCUCCUUAACCUAUCUAAAUAUCUAGGCCGGCAUAAGACAUAUUGAAGUUUAGUGUAAAAAAUUUAACAAAGCUUUUAAUUAUAAAAAUUAUGACUGUAACAUUUAAAAUAAAAAAAAUUGAACUUUAUUAUUAGAUGUCAAAAUAUUUAUUAAACACUCUUAAUAAGUAUUAAAUAUAAAUUUAUUAAAUUUAUUUUUGAUACAAUUAAUGAAUAUAAGUACGGGCUCAAGAGAUAUACACGCCUUUGAUAAAAAAUUUAACAAAGAUUUUAAUUAUAAAAAUUAUGAAUAUAACAUUUAAAAUAAAAAAGUUGAUCUUAAAAGAUGUAAAAUUCUUUAUAAAAUUAUUAUAAUAGUUUUUGAUUAAUUAAUAUGCACAGUCAAUAUCAUUUUUUUAUUAUUAUUAUUAUUAUUAUUAUUAUUAUUAUUAUUAUUAUUAUUAUUAUUAUGCGUCGGUGUACAACUCAUAAAAAAAGACGUCAAUCAUAAAUAUAUAUUGGUACAGUGUCGUCAAUUGGAUUGACGCAUCCUCGUAGGUGUUAUAUGCAGGGAUGAAGCUAGAGAUUUUGAACUGUAGGAGCAAUAUAUUAAUAUAUAAAUUUAUUUCUAUUUAUUUUUAAAUCAUAAAUAUAUAUUUAAUUUAUUUUUAAAUCAUAAAUAUAUAUUAUAUCUAUUUUUUAAGAAAUCUAUCUCUAAAACAAUUUUUAUUAAUUUUUUAAAAUUUUAAAAUUUUAAAAUUUUGUAAAUUUUAAAAUUUUAUUAUCAAGAAAAAUAUUUUUUUAUGUAUUUUUUAUGAGAUCAUAAUAUUAACAUAAAAUUCUAUAAAUCAAUUUUUUUAAAGAUCGAGGAAAAAAUUAUUUUAAAAUUAUAACAAGAAAAACAAUUCAAUAUAUUUCAUCUGACAUGUUUUAAUUUAAUUAUUGAAAAUAAAAAAUUCACUAUAUUUUUGGACAAUAUCCUAAAUAAAUAUUCAUAUACUUUAUUAUUUUCAUCUAAUUUUUAGUAAUAUCUUCAUAAUAAUAAUAUUAUUUAUAUAAAUUUAAAAUAAUAUAAAUUUAUAUAUAUAUAUAUAUAUAUAUAUUUAUAUAUAUUAUAUAUAUAUUAAUAUAUAUUAUAUAUUAUAUAUAUAUAUAUAUAUAUAUAUAUAAUAUAUAUAUAUAUAUAUAUAUAUAUAUAUUAUAUAUAUUAUUUAUAGUAGGGACCAUUUGUCUUAUGCUAUUUUAAUUUGUUAUUUCUUAAUUUCCCCGUCUAUUUCAGUGUUUGGAUUAAAAAAAGGGGGGGGUCGGGGGUUCCCUCUUGGGGGUGGGUUUAGUAUUUUAAUGUUUUUUUACUUAAUAUUUCUUUUGUGUUUUUCACAUUCUUCUAUGUCUUAGAUUGACGUCUUCUUUAUUUUGAAAGUGGGUUACUCUCAGAAAUAAUUGAAAAAGUAAAUUAUUUUAGAUAUCUAUUUGAAAAGUUAGAAAAUCUUAAAUAUUAUUCAUUUUAAAUAAUAUUUUAUUAAUAUAAUUUUUAAUACCAUUAAUAGAAGGACUAUAUUCUGGUAUCAACCGAAAGGAUUAUAUUAUUGGACUAUUUUAAAUUUCCUAUUAUAUUGUUGUCGUCUAUUAUCAAUUUAUUUUAUCAAUAAAUCACUAUUUGAAAUUUUAUUAGUAUUUAAGUCUUUAAAUUCAUCUACACCUUUGACUUCUACUAUUAAUUUUCAUUUUCAUUUUUUUAAUGUUUAUAUAACUGGUACAUUGUUAACUUGUUUAUUUAAUAAACAUUAAGCAAUAUUUUUAAAUUAACUUUUUAAUUUAUUUUUAUAAAUUUAUCUAAAGUUCCCUUUUAUAAUUUAAUUAAAAUUUCAACUCUCUUUUUUUAAUUUCUAAUUUUUUUUAUUCAAAUUUUUUUAAUUGACAUUACUCUAAAUAACAUAAUAAAACAAUUUCCACAAUAAACACAAACAAAAAAAAAAUUCAAAAAUAAGAUAAUUGAUUAAAUAUAAAUGAUUUAAAUUAAAAGUAAAUAAAAUAAAAUUGCAUAAAUAAAAUAUAAUUUUAUCCUUUUACAAUGCUAGAGAGGACAUACACUUUAUCAUAGAAGUAACGAUUAAUUAAUGGAGAUGAUGAAUUAACAUAUUUUAUACUCUCAUAUACACAUUUUAGGUUGGAAAUGAUUUGAUAUAAUCCUUUAUCUAACCUGUUUAAAUUUUAAUGGGUUGAAUUUGUCGUUCAACCCACAAUUUCAUUGUCAAAAUUGACAGAAACCGACUUGUUUAUUUAAGGGUUGUGUUCGCGAUGUUUUAAAUAAAAAUUAUUUUUUUAUAUAUUUUUUAAGAUAUAAAAAAUUUAACCCAAUUCAAAUUAGAUGAAACACAUCAUAUAAUGUCUAAUAAAGUUCAUCAACACGACAUAACACUCGAUAAUAGUAUUAAAUUCUAAUAGUAUCAAUGUUAAAUUAUUUUAAAACAAUUAUUUUAAUUAACUCUUUAAUCAUAACAUUUAUUUAUUAUAUUUUUAUAAUACAUUAUAAUAAAUAUAUUAUAAAUAUUCUUAUUUUUAAUUAGAAAUAUAUAAUGAUAAGUUAAUUAAAUAAUUAUGGUUUGUGAAAAACAAAAACAAAAUCAACGUCAAAGUUAUAUGCUUCAACAAUUUAUAUAAUGACUCAUUUUUAAAUAAAAUAGCUUUAAAAAUUAAAAGUUUGAAAAAUAAUAGUUGAUAUAUUAUAUAUUUUAUUUAUUUUUAUGUUGACAAUAUAAAACAUAGACAUUAAUUUUAUUCUUUAACCAUAAUUUUUAUAAUAUAUUAAAAUAAAAAGUAGUUAAAAUUAACUAAUAAAAUUAAUUAUAAAUAGUUUAAAUAAUUUAAUUAUUAUCAAAUAAAAAUAUAUAAAAUAUUUAUUUAGUAAAGAAUAUUAAAACGAAUAACAAAUUAUAUGAGAUGAUAUGACUUUUUUAUAAUCUUUUGUUUUCUUAAGUUAAAUUAUUUAGUAGAUAAAAAAAAAAAUUAAAAUUGAUAUAUUUCUCUCUCUUCUUUAAAUGAUAUUUUUUUUUCUAUUUCUUACCUUUUAAUAGUUGGAUUAAUCAAAUGGUUUAAAAUUGCACAUGAGAGAGGGCAUAAGAGAAAAAAUUGGAGAGGAUCCAAUUCCGAUAAAAAGAUGUGGUAAAUUUAUGAGUAGUUUAAUAAUUUAUACAUAUUUUUAGCCUUAUUAAUUGUCACUUCGUUGAAAAAGAAAAAGGAAAUAAUAAUAAUGAUAGUGAUAAUAAUUAAAUAAUAUUGAAUUUUUUGACAAAUAAUGUUAUUAAAUAUUAUUGAAUAUAAUAGAUGAAAGAGAAAAAAAAAUGAAGAUCUUUGUCUGGCUUACCUCCUCGUUGAAUAGGGUAUGCUAACUAUUAAUAUGCCAAAGCCUCUUUAAAAAAUUAAACAAAUCAAUUAUAGGAUCCGAUAACUAUUAAGGAAUUUCUUAUGUCAUCAUAUGAAAUGGAAAAACUAUACAAAAUUUAAAAUAUUCAUUCAAGUUUAAAGAUGCAUCUUCGAAUACACAUUUGUAUCACCUUAUGACGCACUAAAUGAGCGACACCCUAAAGUAAAAUAAAAUCUUAUUCCAAAGAUACAUCUCUGAGUAUUUUGAACAAAUAUAUUGAUAUUUAAGCAAGCGUCCUCAGCAUGACCAGAUACCUGUAUCAUACACUCAGUUGCUGUCGUAUCUUGUCCAGUAAGGGGCAAUUGCGCCAAAAGAGAUUCCGCAUGCAACUCCUCCCUAAAAUCACAAGCAUAAUCCUAAUGUGCCUUGUUCAUUUCAUGUCGGAUACAUAGGGCAUUCUAUAGAGGAUUAUUUGGUCCUCAAGGCCAUAAUGCAAGAGUUAAUUGACCAUAAGGUUUUGUCAUUCUUUGACGCAUGACCCAAUGUCAUAAACAACCCGUUGCCAGACCACUGUGGACAAAUAGUGAAUGCAGUUAGUGGCGAAGAUUGCUCAGAUUCAGUUGCUUCUUCAGAGGAGUAUCGAUGCUAGCAAUAUCAUAUUGAUUCAAUCAUGUAUCAUUUGUAAUCCUUUCUUGUUUUUUAAAUGUUGUUCAUUUGUAACUUGUCUGGUUUUUCAGAUGAUAAUAAUAAUGAAAUAAACGUGCAUGUUUUGCUUAAAUCCAUUCGUGUCCACUCAUAUUUUAUUUUAUCAGUAUCAAACUGUUUGUCGAACAAAAUCAAAAGAGAAUGAUGCAAUUAAAAAUACGCAAGAUCGCUGCCUGUAUGGUUUUGAAUAAGAUCGUGCUGAUGAUGUAAGGCAUUGUUCAAUCCCUAAACACCGGAGAUAUAAGGAAGAUAAUCCCUAGUCAACCCCUUUGGGUAUUGUAAUAGGAGUUUCUUUCUUGAACACAUAAAACCCUCAUGCUUAACCAGGGGCAGAGUAUUCUUCAGUUAGUUUAGACUUGCAUUCAAAUUUAAGAAGGACAAUAUCUCAUCCAGUGAUCAAUCAUAUCAUAUCCCUCUCAAGAGGAUGGAAUCAUAAAUCCAGGAUGGUUAUCCCUUACCCAUCAAAAAGAGUGAGAUAAUCACGACUCGUGCAACAAAUCGAGAAAGCUGUGUCACAAGGUUUUCUCUAGUACAAAAAUAAAAGAUGAAACAAAAUUAAAAGCCCGCUAAGUCAAAAGCUUGAAAACAAGAUUGACUUAGGCAAAAGUCAGGGUAUCCCGGUGGGAUGCAGACCCAAAGGAUCAGCCUAGGAAAAAAUAAGGGUAAACAAAACAAAAGAAUUAGAGGAUCAAUACCAAAAUUCGUAGCGAGAGCAAAUCCCUGUGACUAUAAACAAAAGCAGAAGGCGAGUGGCUAUCGCUCUAAAUUCUCGUGGAUUCCUUAAACCAUCAUUGUUGAUAUUCAAAAUCCUUUCUGAAAGACGAACGCUUAUUUUAAGCUAAUUGAAUAUAGAACUAGAUAACAUCACACAGAAUGGGUGGGUUAGAAUAGGUUUUGAGCCUUAUAUCCUUUCUUUCUGAAACCGUGAACUAGGCCAAGUUACAACCCUCAAAAGACCUAAUUGAAGUAGGGUUUAUUUCAAAAGCAUACUAUGGUAAGAUCGCGUUAAGCUGACUCCUUAAGAUUUUCUUGUCAUAUGUUUGAUACUGAUAUGGCAUUCUAAACAGUGAUUUGUUCACUAGAUGUCAUAAUCUUAGUGAACACACUUGAGUUUUCAAAACUUGCAUGAGCAUGACAUUACAAUUAUCAUUUUAAAAAUGAGCGUUUUACAUGCGAACAUGCAUUUGACACCAAGGAAGCUUACAAUGGGAAAGUUGAUCAAAUUCCUAAUAUCCCAUAGCUCAAAUCUCUUCAAGAGCCCGUCAAUCUAAGGCACCAUGCCAAGAUUUUGCAAAUCUCUCUGAAUCAGCUGUAUAAGGGAAAAGUUUAAUUCGAAGUUCAUAUUGGGGAAGGCCACCUCAAGAGCAUGAGAAGUCAAUCACUCCUAAGAUAAUUAACUAGGAGGAUAUAGUUUCAAGAUGCUGGGGCAAGCCAGUUUGAGAUACUCAGAUGACGAGAUCACUCUAAUUUGUAAUUGGAGAAAUUGGUGCAGAUAUCCAAUACAUUGGGGCAGAGGCAGGCUACGCAGGUACAAGCUCUCUCCAUGUUCUAGACAUAAUCCAGAGGUGUGACAACAAUUUUUCAGCUUGAAGUAGGUUCGAAGAAUCACGUCUGGAGGAUACCAUAUCCUAGCCAAAAAUUUCCACCUCCCUCUAUAUGAGCACCUGGAUUAACCAUUGCAUAAAUCAUUAUCAUGAAUAAAUCACGUCGCUUCACUCAUGCAUACCAUUCAUCUAUCAUAGCAUGAAGCCGUGUGUGAGAAUCAAAGGAAUUAAAGCCCAGUAUUUUAUUGGCAUCUCCAAAUUCCAAACUUGCCUGGUACCUUUUUAAACCAUCUAGUUUGACAAUUCUUCCAAAAUCCAAUUUGCUUGGCGUCUUUUAAGCCCAGUUUGCUUGGUAUCUUUUUUCGACCUUUAGGGUCGAUGAUCCUCUUUUCCAACAUUCAUGGUUGAGGAACCUUUUUUCAAUCUUCAGGAUUGAUAACCUUUUUCCAAUCUUUAGGGUUGACGAUCUUUGUUUCUAACCUUCAUGGUUGUUGAAUCUUUUUCCCACCAUUAGGGUGAUGAUAGACUUUGUUUCCGGCCUUUAAGGUUGAUGAUCCUCUUGCUUUCAACCUUUGCGGUUGUUGAAUCUUCUUCCAACCAUCAUGGUUGUUGAAUCUUUUUCCUACCUUUGUGGUUGUUGAAAAUUUUUCCAAACCUUCUUGGUUGAUGAACUUUUUCAAUCUAUGUGAUUGACAAACUUUUUUCCAAACUGUAAGGUUGAUGACCUUUCUUUUUUUCAAACCUCUGUGUUUGACUUUGUUUCCAGUUUUUGAACUGAUGAUUCAUUUGUGAAACCCCUUGUUUGCAAGAAUAUUUUGGAACUUUCAUGCGCUCUUUGAUUAGCAUACAUGGCCACAUGUUUCAAAAAUGAUAAAAAAAAAUACAAUUUAGCAUGCAUAUCAUGAUCGUCAUUUGCCAUUAAUAUCCCCACAGUACAUCAAAAUCACCAGCAAAUAAACCCGUAAAAAAUCAAGUUGAUAUCCCUAUAUCUCAUACAAUUGUCCUUCAAGGAAAAAAAUUCGGAUACUUCGAUAUUUAAUCCACGCAUACCUUAAAAAGCUGAAAAGCUCUCGCAAUUCGACCAUUCAGGUCUAAGCUGAUUAAAUAGGGGCAGAUGUCGUAUCCUAAAUUUGUCCUCCCUAUUUCAUCUUUCCACUCAAUUUAUCAACUUGAGAUUCAUCUGUACCACAUUCAUAUUUCAUUCAUAUGCAUCAUUCAUUAAUCAUACAUUCAAAGCUUGUGGCCUGCAAAUCUAAGGUUUGUUGAUGGGACAUGGCUCUUCAUAGGCUCAUCAUGUGAGGGGAAACCCUAAUUUCAUACUCUUUUAGACUUUGAUUCAAAAAGGUUACAAUCACGACAUUCAUUUAGUCAUUCAAACCCUUAUUCCUGACUUUGUUGUCUUUCGGUCUCACAAGCUUUCACCUGUGUAUCAUGAAGCCCUAAUCAGGGAAGAUUUGGUCCGGUUGCACCUUAUGGCUUGACUUUUCAUCUUGUGUGUGCUGGAAACCCUAAUUCAUUAGGGAGAGGUGUUUGACUAUCCUAUUAUGCAUGCCUACUGGUUUGGAAUUGCACAUGAUUCAGGUCUUGUUUCAAGCAUCCCUAUGCCCAUCACAUUUAACUUUGCAUAGGCCAUUAACUCAAGUCUUUUGGUAUGGGCAAAUGCAUAGACCCAUAUGCCCGAUUCACUUCAUUCAUAUGAUGCAGAUGAUCAAGGAUGAUUGGUCCAUUUAAGAUUUGGUUCCAUUGGUUCAUUCUUUGUUUCUUAAGCAAAAUCAUUAUUUCAUUUGAAUUAUGUCAUGUGAAAACCCUAAUUCAAAUUUCACAGUUGACUUCGAUUAACUAGUUUACCAAAGUCAACCAUCCCUUUUUGAGUCCAUUAAACUUUUUCAUUAAUCAUUCACACUUAAUCACAUUUUUCGAGCUAUUUGAUGCAUCCAAUUCAUUCAAUUUUCAAAUGUAAUUUUGACCAUUCCAAACAUUUUAACCAUUCAAGGUUAACAAUUUAAGUUCUAUAAACCAUCUUCUUUUACAAUAUAUUUCCACUCAUAAACUUUCCAUAAGCAUUCAAAAUUUUCCAUCAUAAAUAUCAUUCAAUACAAUAAACUUGUCCAUGGUUCGCGCAUUUAAUCCUUUCUUUCCAUCAUUUAUUUGCAUUGCAAUUCUAUUCAUCCAAAGUAUCAAACUUUUCAUAAUCACCAAGUUCCAUUCCAAUACAUUCAAGUUUUACCUACAACUUUCCUUUACAAUUAUUACAAACCAUUGUUUUACAUUGUUACACUAUGUAUCAACCAUAUCCUACAUAACCAUAUUAACCAUUCCAAAUGAUCAAGCAAGAUAGAAUUUCAUUCACUAACCAUACAAGAUAUCUCAAGCAUACAUUUCCAUUUCAAGCUACAUUAUAAUGCAUCAUAAUCCAACAAUAUCAUGAAGCAGCCCAUGGCCUCUUAUGCAUUCACUAGAAAUAUUUCCAUAGCACAAAUUGGCCAUGUCCCAAAAGAUAAUGCACAAAAAAAGCAUGAAAUAUCAUGAUUCUGUUAGGCUCUGUUUUGAAAUUAUUUACCUGAUGAACAACAGACAUAAAUGCCGAUCGAGGUUAUAUGGAAGCUUCAAAUACUGAAAAAGAAAACACACCCAUUGCAUUGAUGGCUACAGCUCUUCCUUUGAAACGCCAUUGAAGCUUCAAUUCGUGGAGCUUAAACCACUGCACCUCUUCGACCUCACGCGGAAAACGCAACAACAGCAUAUGCUUAGAAGAACAGAGGGAGAGGAAUAAGAUUGCAGCAACAUAACAGAAAGAGUGAAGGAACAAAAUUGAGACGAAGAAAAAGGGAAGAGAUCGGUCAAUACCUGUUCGCAGUUGAAGCAUCAAAUUUGGUAAGUCCUUUUGAUUUUCUUUUCUUUCUGUUUAAGUCCGCGAGCACAAUGUUGGAUGGAAUCACAUGUCGAUGAGGUUGAACACAAUCCAUGAACUCUAUUAUCUGUUAGAAUUAGAAUAUUAGGUUAUUAAGUGACAAUUAGAAAUUGUGAUUUAAUUAGAAUUCUAGUAUUGAUAGAUUUUGGAUUUUCAUUAGAAUUAAUUAGAAAUUUUAGAAUUUAACUAGGGUUUUAGAAUCUAUUUUAGACUAAUUAGAUUUUCACAUAAUUAUAUAUAAUUAUAAUUAAUUAGUUUUUGAUUAAAUGUUGAUUAUUAGAAACUAUUUUCCUAAUUAAUCCAUUUAUGCAUAUUGACUAUUUUACCCUUUAGAGGUUAUGUUUGUCAUUUUAGCCAUAAGGACAUGUUCCUUUAGGUUUAGAUCUUGACAUCAAUUUUUAAUCAAGUCUUGACCAAUUAUAUCAUGAUCCCUUAGGAUAGUUUGUAACAAAUUCUAACCAUUAGAUUAGGAUUUAAUCUAGUUUUCAAACUAAUUCAAACCUUCUGAUUCAAAUUGAUCAAAAGCAAUUUUGAUCAAUUAAAUCAUUUGAUAUUGUAUAAUCCCACAGUCUAAUUUGAGUGACACAAAUACUCUUGGUCACCUAAUGAGACUUUUUCGGUAAGUUGUGGAGCUCGAGGCCUCAAGUCAUAUUUUCAAUCAAGGCAUCAUCGGUCAGACCAAGCAGUGGAUAAUACAAGGUACAUCAAAGGUGGCAUCUUUGAGAGCUUGUCAAAUCAAAGUUAUGAUUGUGUGGCAUGAGCCUUGAGUAAUGAAGAAAGAAUGAGACUGAAGAAUUCCUACCCCCAUCAACACAAAGGGCAUCAUGUCAGCAACUUGUUAAUUUUGAUUCAAGUUGCAUGCCAUGAGCCUUAAGAAACAAAGAAUGAUGAGAGUGGGGAAUUCCUAUCCUUGUCUAGAAUAUUCUUGGGUACGGGACGAAUGACCCAGUUGCUCAAAGUAUUCGCCUUUUUCCAUAGACUUUGGUGCAAUUUAAAUCAUGCAAUUGACAAGCCUUCUUCUUCAAGCAAGCAUCAAUCAUUCAACACUUCAAUAGUGAAACACCAUUACCCCCUUUAGUAUUGGACUUUCCUCCUGGAUGUUCAUACAUUUCUUGGGAUUAUUACCUUGGGGUCACAUACCCAUCUCGCAAUCAAUUGCUUCAUGCAUUGCCUAUCAGUUCACACUAUGGCAUACUUCAUUGCUUGCCCUCAACGUACAGACCCUGACAUUCAGCCUAUGGAGUACAUACUCUGGCUUUGUUUCUUCCCCAUAAGGUACAGACCUUGGCAACUUCUUGCAGCCCAUAGAGUAUAGACUCUGGCUUUAUUCCUUGCCUACAACAUACCGAUCUUGGCAUCCUUGCCCUAAUGAGUUCAGACUCUGGCCAUCUGAUUUUGUCUAUACAGUACUGACUUUGACAUAUUAUUAUGCCUUAUAGUUAAGACUUUGGAAUUCAUUCAUCCAGCCCAUUGGGUUCAGACUUUGGCAUCGUACUAUUUUGCCCUUAUGGAGUUCAGACUCUGGCAUUCAAAUCAGUUCAUUUGCCUUAUAUAGUUCAGACUAUGGCAUGCUUAUACAUCUUGCCCAUGGAGUUCAGACUCUGGCAACCUUUAACAUUGUCUUGAAGUCAGACUUUAGAAUUAUAUCUCCUUUUCCCUUAUUGAGUUCAGACUCUGAGAAUCUGUUCCUUGCCUUUGUAUUAGUUCAGACUAUGGAAUUCAUCUAUCUUGCCUUGUGGAGUUCAGACUCUGGCUAUAUCUCAUUUGUCCUUAUGGUUGAUUACCAUCUUUGGUAAGUGUCAUACUCUCGCUUAUUAAGCAAUCACCUUGCCUCUGAGCAAUCCUAUCAAAUCUCCCUUUGCUUUCAGUUGUAGUAGGCUAAACUACGAUUGCUCUGAUUUUCUCAUUGCACGAUGAGAAUACAUAGGCACAAGGGUUCAAAUCCUCCGUGAGCAUACUUAUUUAUUACUCCUACCUUAGGGCAUUUCUCCAUCCAUCUCCAUGAUACAGUCAUAUACUACCUUUAUUCACUUCAUGUGAUAUACCCUAUUCUUUGAGCCAAAUACAUUAUACCUUUGUGCUCCAUCUUGUACCCCUUUGUGAACCAAGAGAUGUUUCUGUUGUGAAACCAAAAUUAAUUUCCUUUGUUUUCGGCUAUACCAUAUAGUGGCGAAUGUUCAGACAAUCCAUAUAUCGGUUUAUUCCAGUUUUACUCUUGGGUUCACGCUUUCACCCCUUGUUGGGGUUCAAAAUAUUAUCCUCUGGUUCAGGCCAUACCUUGAUCACAACUUCCUUUUCAUCUCCCACCACUAGUUCUUUGAACUACGAAGUUAUGAAUUCCUCAUUGCACUAUGAGUAUACAUAGGCAUGAGGGCCCUAAUCCUCACCGAGCACUCUAUCUAUUUCUUUUCAUUUUCCCCAUUCUUUUGCGAGUAAUCUUUAGAUACAACACUCAUUCGAGCGAGAACAAUCAAAACGGUUCCCAUGGAGUACCAUAGAUGUUAGGGAUGCUAAUACCUUCCCAUUGCAUAAUCAACUUCCUUACCCAACAUAUCUCUUUCCCCUGGGUUUUAUCGAUGUGUUCGGGUAUAUUUCCGCUAGCUGCAUCACCAACUCCAAAAUCUCAAAAAAGUGUUUUUAAAGGAACUCGCAUUAGCAAACCACCUCCUUCACCGUCUCUACCAAAAAUUUCAUUCAUUGACGAGAUGUUAUUUUUUUCAUAAAUACAUCGAACAAAUCGUCAAUGUUGAGGGUGACGGUAAUUGCGAUUUUCGAGCUAUUUCGAUUUUGCUGGGUAAAGGAGAAGAUGAUCACACACUUGUCUGCCAUCAACUUAUCCAUGGUUGAGGACCCAUAUAGAAUUAUACACACGACUUUACCGAAAGAAACAAAAUUUUGAUGCAAUUUAUGAGUCUUUUAUUCCUUGCAUUAGUGGUCCGAAACCAGAGGAAAAAUGAAUGUGCUUCCCUGAAAUGAGUCAUCUCAUAGCAAGUGCAUCUGAUAAAGUGUGUAUUGGUCUUACAAGAUACGAUUUUUUGGAAACUUUUUUUCCACUGCGCACCACCCAACCUCAAAAUCUAAAUGAUCGUAUUUUGUGUAUUAGAAUACCUUUAAAAUUACGACACUUUGUUCAAAUUUAUUUGAAACGGGAUGUCGUAUACCACUUACAUCAGUGGAGUGGACAACUCAUUCAACAAUAAAAUCCGGGACUUAGACGGGCCAAUUUAUGGAAAAGAUGCAAGAGUUUACCAAAUUGAGCGACAUUGAAAGUGAAUAUAAUGCACAAAAGUCAAAGGGGGAACCACUCAUACUUAUAAAUUUAGCCAUCGACAAAUAUUUCGAUUCGUUUUAGUUUUUCGUUAUCAAUUAAUUGUAUAUAAUUUUGUAUUAAUAGUAAGGGUUAAUAACAUUUUUAUAGAAACAUUCUAGUUGUACCUUGGGGGGAAUGACCCAUGAUUGAUGCUUACGUGUCAUGAUAAAUAUCAUGAUAUAUUUUAGUUUUUAGUUUUUUAAUUACAUAUAUGCUUACGUGGACUUACAGUUUUUUAUUUAUGAAUUAUUUCUAUUUUCAUGUGAAAAUUUAUUUUCUUUUUCAUUUAUUUUAAUCAUAACAAUUAUCAAAACUACUUUAAGAAAGUUCUAAAAUUUUGUCAACAAUGAAAUUCUCAUACGGAUUUGGCAAGGAACUUUGAAAGGAGAUUUGAAAGCGUGAACCACAACCAUAGAUAGGAAGAAGGAGAAUUAGGGUUCAACAUAGUUUGAACCGUGUUUAUGUUUAUGUUAGGGACCGAUUCGGGCUAGACCCAAUCUAGGUUCGGUUGAUCCACUAACCAUUAGUUUUUUUUUUAAAUUAUUUUGUGAGUAUACCAUUUGUUGUUUGGCCUUACCUAUUUGUGACUUGGGCAAACCCCACUUUAGGAGCCAUCUUGUCUUAUUUAUUUAUUUAUUUUUGUCUUUUCCUCAACCUUUUUUAUUGCAUUAAUAUUUUAGUAAAAGAAUAUAUAAAAAACAUAAACUUUUUCAUGAAAAAAAAGGUGGUUUACAAUUUUAUAAUAAUUGAUUUUUAUUGUUAUUUCAAUUUUUUUAUCAAUAAAUAAAUAAAAGUAGACAAAAUUUGUUUGAUGCGUGCCUUAGGGUUUCUUUUUCCUAUCAAGCUAUAUCUCAAAAGAAGAAUAUUUCUUUAAGAAUUAUUCCUUUUUUUAAAAAUAAAUUUGAUUCCAUUAUGGUUUGAUUUGUUUGAUCUUUAUUGAUUGUGUGAAUGCUUGUAUUGUUCAUACUUGAUCCAUGAUUUAUGUAACCUUUCACUUAGACCUUCGAUUGUUAGUAAGAUAAAAGUAAAUGUGCAAUAAAAUCAACCUUUUAAAAUAAGAUUCAAACACUCUAUCGAUAUGAAUUUGGUUUUAAAAAGAUCUCACUAUUUUCACCAUCCAUUCAAAGUUAAUUUCAAGUCAUCUCACAAAUUAUUUUCAUGCUAACACGAAUAAACCCUCGAUCAACAUCGAGUUUCUUUUUUGCUUAUUAAAAACUUGAAAAUCAUUUUCAUAAUAAAUCAGUUGAAAAAGGAAUGGGAGGCGCACACAUCUCUACUCCUCGAAUAAGUGAGUGAUUGGUAGACUCCAUAUUGCUCUAACUUUCAUCUUCCGAAUAAAAUAUCCUAAAUAAACAUGGAUGAAAAAGGAAGAGAGGCGCACACAUCUCUACUCCUCGAAUAAGCAAGUGGAAGACACACACCUCGCUACUGCGAAUAUUUUUUCUUCCGCAAAUAAUUUUCAAAAUAUUAAAAUCAAACAAAAAAGGAAUGGGAGGCGCACAACUUGUUGCUCCUCGAAUAAGUGAGUGAUUGGUGCGCGCCAUAUUGCUCGAGCUUUCAUCGUCUUCCUACAAAACACUAAACCAAUCAAACCUAUUUUCUCGCCCCCUUCGUUCAUCCCAAGACGAUGUAAACACGCUUCAUUUCUACCAUGCGCAAGAAGUUAUAACUCUUUUCGCUCGAAUGUGACGAGAACAAAUUUGUGAGAAUCUGGAUUAUGUUAUUCAUUCUAAUGUGAUGCCAAUGUUCACUUCUCCAUGUUUUUAGUAGCAAAUAAUGUUUUCGCUCGAAUGCGACUAAGUACCUUUCGUAAAAACUGAUCAACAAACAAAAAAUUUCUACCCAGAACUACGUAGCCUUGAGUUUUUCAUCGCACCUGAGAUAUGUAGAAGCGAGACCCGUAAUCUCGUCAGGCACAUUAAUAAAAGAAAACAUUUUGCGACCCAUUUUGUUUUCUCUUUACACUUUUGACCACUCGAAGAAAACAUAUGACAUAAGCUAAAAUUUCAACCACAAAUCUAACUAAAUGGUUCCCGUUGAGUGUAACAGAUGUGAGGGGUGUUAAUCCCUUCCCCUCGCAUAAUCGACUCCCAAACCUGAAUUUGAUUGUGACAAACAUUUUCUUUUUCUUUUAAGGAUUUUAUCAAUAUUUCCCCUCCUUUUUGGAAUAAAUCAAUUUUGAUGGUGACUCUGUUAUCUUGACCAUGCAAGCGCUCAUGGUCAUUUUUCGCGUCGCGACACUACUGUACAAUAGUUAUCUGUAUCAAAAACUAAAAUAUUUGUGUCUGUAUCUUGUUGUCUAGGAUUGUUGGAAACGAGAAGGAUGGAAAAAUAAAGUGUGUUUAUUUUUCUAUGUUGUAAAAUCACAAGGUGGUUUUUCUUGGUGAUUAAGUUAGAAUCUUGUGUAUAGAAUCUAGGUUUAGGCUUGUACAAAAUAAUAACAAUAUUGAAAUCUCUUAUAGUGUCUAAGGGGACUGACAUACUCUCAGAUUGUGAUGGGAACUAGUAUGAUUUUCGAUGUUAUUUACUUUAUGCACUUUACUGCUUUCACCACCUAACCAUAAACCAAAAAAUAAAGAAACAUUCAUCUCUAAAAACAAUGUACUUACAGCGAGAGCAUGAUAUUCCGCUUCAGUACAUGAACAAGACACAAAAUUUUGUUUCUUUAAGCGCUAUGAAAUCAAGGAGUUACCCCAUAACACAUAAAUGCUAGUGUAUAUUUCCUAGUAUCCAGACAACGUGCCCAGUCGAAGUCAGCAAAACCAUGCAGCUUUAAGGAAUUAUUGCUGGCAAAAAAAUGCCUCGAGUAGGAAAUGCCUUCAGAUACUUCAAAACUCGAGUGGCUUCCUAACGGUGAGGAACCAAGGGGUUAGCCACAUAUUGGCUAAGGUGACGGACAAUAAAAGAAAUACUUGGCCGUGUGUUUGUAAGGUAAAGUAGCCUGCUAAUUAAUUUACAAUAUGAAGAAGGGUCCUCUAAAGGAGUACCUUCACUAGAUGAGAGCUUCAUGUGAGGAUCAAUAGGUGUGGAGACAAGCUAAGCCCCAAGAAAACCAGUGUCCUCAAGCAGCUAGAGCAUGUAUGUUCUCUGGCUGAGAAAGAUACCAGAAGUAGAACGUGCAAUUUUGAGGCCCAAGAAGUACCUUAGUUGACUGAGAUCUUUAAUGCAAAAUUGUUGAUGCAGGAAAGACUUUACUUGUUUAUUCCACAAUCGAGUCGCUUGUCAAGACAAUAUCAUCAAUGCACACUGAUAAGGAAGUGAAACCAUGAGGUGUGAUCUUGGUGUAUAAUGAGUGACCAACAACAGAUUGAGAGUAGCCUAAUGAAAUGAGAGCUGAAGAAAGCUUAGAAUGCCAUUGUCGACUGACCUGUUUCAGUCCAUACAAUGAUUUUUUUAAGUGUACAAACCUUGUUGGAUUCAAGAUUACCAUAGCCAAGAGGAAGAGACAUAUAUACUUCUUUAUUUAGGUCUCCAUGAAGGAAGGAGUUUUUAACGUCCAGUUGCUCAAGGUGCCAGUGUUUGACAGCUGCAAGAGAUAAAAGAACACGAACAAUAGUAAUUUUGGCAAUUGGGAAAAAAGUAUCAAAGUAAACUACAUGUUCUAAUUGAGUGUAACCCUUGGCUACCAACCGGUCCUUGCAUAUAUCAAUAGAGCCAUUGGCAUGGUACUUGACUUUGUAUAUCCAUUUACAACCAACUGGAGUUUUGCCUAGAGGAAGGUCCACAAUGGUCCAAGUUUGAUUGUCCUUAAGAGAUGCAAUUUCAGUAUCCAUGGCCUACUUCCAACAGUCAUGUUUAGAGGUAUGAAGAUAGGUUUUUGGUUUAAAUAUGGAUGAAAUAGAGCAACAAAAGGAUUUGUAAGUUGGAGAGCAUUUUUUAUAUGAUAUAAAGUUGGAGAUAUGGAAGGUAGUGGAAGAGGAGUUAUUUAUAGAGGCAUAUCUAUUUGAUGAAAGAAAGAGAUUACAAUAAUAGUCUUUGAGAAAACUAUGAGGGUGUUUGGUUCUCAUUGAUUUUUGAGUUAGUAGUGUGGAUUGGUUUUGGGGAAUGUCUGAGGGAGGGUUAGAAUUAUGUGGAUACAUGUUAUCAACUAAGGUAUCAUGAAGGAUGUUGGGUUCAAAGUCAAUAACACUAGGAUCUUGGGUACUUGGUGAUGGAUUAAAAGUAGUUUGAUAUGGACUUGAGGUACUAGAGUCAAUCAAAGUAGGUUGAUUGAGACUUGGAAGGUUAGGGAUAAGUCCUGUUUCAGAAGUAAUAGGAUAAUCAUAAGAAUUUGUGACUGGUGUGACAACAGUAGAAGGAGUGGACAUAUGAGGCUCAGGGGUCAGAGUGAGGGCCUGAGGUGUAACAUAGUCAAUGUCAUAGGUGAUGUCCAUCAAGCUAUGAAUAUAAGUAGGGAGAUUUGUGGCAUUACUUUUGAAUGGAAAGGUGGUUUCAUAAAAGAAAACAUUUAGAGAUAUGAAUAAGUUAUGAGACUGAAGGUCAUAGAGAAUAUAACCUUUAGUACCAUCUUUGAAACCAAGGAGAAUGGCUUUUCUAGCCCUACCAUUGAAUUUUGUUAUGUGGGUCUGUAAAGUUGUUGAAAAACAUAAACAAACAAAGACUUUCAAAUGAACAAUAAUAUAUUAAGUUUUGAAAAAGCAACUCGUAUGGAGAUUUUGACUGAAGUUGAGGACUAGGGAUCCUAUUAGUCUUGUGGACAACAUGUUGAAUACUGAAGUUCCAUAGGUUUAAAGGAAUAUGUGUUAAUGUUUUCUCUCAACCACCCCAUUUUGCUGUUUUUGUUAUAGUGGUGGUGGUGGUGUGUGUGUGGCGGGGGGGGGGGUGUUCUACACAAGAUUUAUGGCGACUUAUGCCUUUGGAAGGGAAAAAGGAACUAAGAGUUAGGAACUUUGAACCCUUAUAUGACCUAAAGCAUUUAAGAGUGGUUUUGAAUUUAUUUCCUAUUGAGGCAAUAAAAUGUAUUACACUUUGUUUUGUUUCAGAUUUUUCCUUAAUAAAAUGACCCAUGUAAACCUUGAAAAUCCAUCAAUAAGAGUUAAGAAAUAUUUAUAGCCUAAAAUAGAAUCAGUAGAAAAGGGCCCCCAUAAAUCAACAUGUAAAAGUUCAAAUGGAGCAUGAGUAUGAGUAAGACUAUUUAGAAAGGGGAAUUUCUUUUGUUUUGCAAAAUGAAACGAAUCACAAGGGUUCAUGUUAUUUUUACAAGGGAUGGGGGGAAAAUGUUUAGCCAUAGUUUUCAUACUGAAAUUAGAAAGGUGGCCUAGUCUUAGAUGCCAAAGUUCAAAGGAAUUAGAAAUAACAUAAUUACUAGUGGAAUAAACAUCACUAAUAUCUAUCACAUAGAGGCCUCUGUGCCAUUUAGUUGUACCAAGCAUUUGCUUUGGAUGGUUCUGCAAAAUAUGACACAAGUUUGAAGAAAAUUUCAGAUAGCAAUCAAUAUUGCUAGUCAAUUUUGUGACUAAGAUUAAAUUAACAUGAAAGUUAGGAAUAUAGUGAAAAUUGUAAAGAGUUAAGGAAAGGGAAAUGACAAUGUUUCUAGAUAUGCAGGCAGUCAUGUGAGAUUCAUUUGGUAAGGAGAUUAAGCUAUUGAUUAACUUAACUCACAAAGAAAGAGUCGCCACAACGCUUUUAUUAUUUCCAAAGAAAAUAGAAAAAGAACGAACCAAACCCAAAGAAGUUUAAAAAAAACUAAUAAAAACAAAGAUAAGGGUCCAGGGGUUGGUUAUGUACAGGGAAGAUACUAGCACCCUAAGCAUCUAUAGUACUCUACAGGAACAUCUUUGAAAAUAUGUGCAUUUAGAUUUAAAAUGGUGUUGUUUACAAAAGAUUAGGGAGAUGAAAAGAGAUUUUUUUUUUAUAAUUUUUGUGUUUGCCAAGACUUUCUGAACCUCGUGCCUACGUACCCAUAAAGUGCAAUGGCGAAUCAAAACCUCGUAGUUCGUGGUAAAAAUAACAAAGAUGUUUGCUUUGAUUCAUUUUUAAUGAAUUUUUUUUUGUCAUUUUAAGAAGAACAUUCAACUAGCCAUCCACAAGUAUGGGAACUUUGCAUCACCAUGAGAAGGACUCUAACUUGGAUAAAUAUCAACUAGCUCUCUUAUAUAGAAAAGAAUUAUUAUCAAUACUAUGGGGAUAGAAAAAUUAUAUAUCAACUAUGGAAAUGACUCGUGUCUAAACUUUGAGAAAAAAGUUUUAAAAAGGAAAAAAAAAAGUGCACAAAGGGCACAAAAAGGUUUGAAUGAGUUAUGCAUUUUUAGUUUUUUGAAAUUGGUUUGAAUAUGAUUAAGAUGUAUUAGAAUUUAUUAAUAAAAGAUUUUGAAAAGAAAUCACUUGAAAAAAGUCAAGGUUUAUUGAGGAAGUAGUUCAAGUUUGAAAACAAGAAUGUUUUGAAAAAAAGAGAGAAGAUUUUGAAAAUCAAAGAAGGGGAGGAGAGGAAGAGAUUAUCCUAGAACAUAAAGUAAAAGCUAUGGAGGAAAGAUCCAACCAAGAGAUAACAACAAGAAUUCACUCCUUUGGAUUAAGCCUUAAGCAAGUCAAAUAAGCAAAGAAUAUUCCAUGUAUCAGAUGAAACCAAAGUAGCCAAGCAAAAUCUUCAAAAGAAUCUCAAAGUCAAAGGUAGCAGAUGAAUCUCAAGGUCUCAAAUCAGAAACUCCCAAAAGAUAAACAAGUAUGCCACUAGUUCUCUUAGAUGGAAAAUAAUUAUCAUCAAUACUAUGGGUAUAGAAUAAUUACAUCUCAACUAUGGAAAUGACUCAUGUCUAAACUUUGAGAAAAAGUUUUAAAAGAAAAAGUGCACAAAGGGCACAAAAUAGUUUGAAUGAGUAAUGUAUUUUUUAAGUCUUUUGAAAUUGGUUUAAAUGUGCUUAAUAUUUAUUAGCAUUUAUUAAGAAAAUAUUUUGAAAAUCACUUGACAAAAGUCAAGGUUUAUUGAGAAAGUGAUUCAAGUUUGAAAACAAGAAGGUUCUUGAAAAAAAAAGAGAAGAUUUUGAAAAUUAAAGAAGGGGAGGAGCUAAGAAGAUUAUCCUAAAACAUAAAGUAAAAGUUAGGGUGAAAAAUCUAACUAAGAGAUAGCAAGCUUUAUGACAUGUGUUAAGUAAGAACACUCUCCUUUGGAUUAAGCUUCAAGCAAGUCAAACAAGCAAAGAAAAAUCCAUGUGUCAGAUGAAACCAAAGUAACCAAGGAAAUUAUUUAAAGUAAUCCCAAAGUCAAAGGUACCAGAUGAAUCCCAAGGUCUCAAACUAUAAACUCCCAAACAAGGGUCAAAAUUCUAGUUCUAACUCCGUAACUCCAUAAUAAUCCCAAUGAUAGUAACCUCAAGUCCAUGAAUUAAGAGAACCAAUUUUUAGGGGUUUUUUCCUUUAUUAAUGUAUUUAAAAGAAAAAGAAGUCUAAAUGGACAAAGAAAAAAAGGCAUAAACAUAAACAAAGGUCCAAGUGGACAAAUAGAAAAUAGCAUAAAUACAAACAAUAUGAUAUGCGAUGCUAAAAUAAAAUCAUAAAGUUAAUAACAAGAAAUAAAUGGCAAAAAAAUAAAGAGCAUAAGAUAAAUGGCAUUAAAGUAAAUUUAAUAUAAUAAUAUGUUAGUAAGUUGUGUUAGUAAUAAAAAAUUGAAAGAUAAUUUAUCAUUUUUGGGAGAAUACUCAACUAUUCGCCCACAAGUAUGAAAAUGUGGACCUCUACAUCACCAUGAGAAAGACUCCAACUUGGAUAAAAUCAAUAAGUAUGCCACUAGUUUUAUUAGGUGAAAAGGAAACAAUAUUUUUCACACAAUACCAUGGGGAGUAGGAGACUUACAAUCUCACUUAUGAAAAUGACUUACUUUCGGAUUCAGGAUAAAUUUAACGUUAUGUUAAGCAAUCGUAAUUGGACUCAUGUUGAAGUCACAACUAUCUGAGCCCGGUCAAUAAUAAUAUUUAUGUUAAUACAUGCUAGAGAAAUUAUAUGUAAAUCAUUCUCCUAAAGAUAUGCCACACAAAAAAAGGAUGGAUCAAGCACAAAUGUUAAGAGAGUUGUUCAUUACAUCAAUCAAUACUUCAUGAUACUUAGGACAAGCUUAUGCAUCAAUCUAAAGUACCUUAAAUAUUCUAUGAUCAAUUAGGAGGUAGAUUUGAAGUGAUGAAAGUUCAUCAAGUACCAAUUCAUACAUCAUAAACAAGAUGAACACAAACCAUCCAAUUGAUCAAGAGAAAAAAGGAAGCGAAAGAGAUUAAGAAGAAGAAGAAGACGAGAGAAACCAAACUCAAAUUGGAUCAAAGGAUUGAUCAAGUCAUCAUCAAAAUCAAUCAUCCAUCUUGGUAGAUUUGGGUUUUCACCCCAUCAACACCGAAGAUCCAUUGAAUUUGAUGAGAUUUAUGAUCAAAAUAGCCAAGAUCCAAGGUCAACAGAAGUCAACAAAGGUCAAACAAGCAUAAAAUGAAAGAAAAUAAAAUAAAAUGCAUCAAAAAUAUUUUUUAAAUGAAUUUUAAAAGGCAAAUAAAACAAAAAAUUCCAUAAAACCCUUUAAAAUACCAAAUAAAUGGCCAAGAAAAUUAUGGAAGGUUGAAGAUAAAAUAAGGAACAUAAAAUAAAUUUUUCAAAUAUUUUUAAUGCAUAAAAGUAUUUUUAAACUAAUUAAAAAAAGGGGAAAAAGAGGAAAUCCAAGAAAAUAAAAUAUGGAAAAAUAAAAAUCAGAUGAAGAAAAAAAAAAGAAAAUUUUAGAAAAUAUUUUGGGAUUUUUUGGAUAAAAAAUGAAUUUUCUAUAAAUUUUUAAAGAAAAUGCAAUUUAAAAUAAAAAAUAAAAAGAAAUAAAAAACAGAAAAAAAUAGAGGCAUUGGAUCUGACCUCAUUAAUUGACGUGGCAAAUCCAACAACUAUCAGGCUAGGGCGCAUGGUGGAAAAUAGUUAGAAUAAAACAUGGAAUCACAUUCAAAAUGGACCAAUCAAAACAUUUCAAAAUGCCAACGUGGAUAGCCAACUCAGAUGGCCUGAAACAAAUCCAUUCAUCUUCUUCGGUAAUCCCUCAUCGGAGUUUCAUCAUUUGACAAAGUAAGAACAUGAGACUACCACCAAUGUGAUCGUCUCCUCAUCACGAAUUCAACCUAAUGCUCAAAAUUAAUUUAUCUAAAUUGAGUAUGGAGAAUUUCAGAGAAGUUUUAGAAACAAGCAAGUCACAAAAAGUAAAAUUAAAUGAUGAACAUUAUCACUCAACACCAGAUAAGUUAGGGGAAAGCAUAAGAGGGUGAAGGACUACAUUGUGGUAACUCGUUUGAGUUCAAAUGAUGCUCAAAACUACCUUGUCCAAAUGUAGAUCGGAGGUUGAAGAAGCUUGAUCUGGUCAGGGCACUUCAGAAGGUCUUACAGAUUGAGAAUUAUUGCAAAAUCUUCAUAGGAGACUGAAAGUUUUAAUUGAAUCAAGAAAUUGAACUGAAACAAGCUAGAAAUCAAACACGAUAGCUCAAUUUUCUAGAAAUGUUUAAUAGUGGAGCAGGGGUUUUUUAGCUCUCCAAAGCUUGGGAAUAAGGCAAAUAUAUUGCUCUAUUUAUAGGGAAGUGAUUGGUGAUCUCAUACGUGCCAAAUGAUGCUUAAUUCGUGCAAAACAAAUUUGCUCAUGAUGUGAGAAAAGUGUGACUUGUAAAACCAUCAAAACUCAGCCAAAUUAUGCAUUAAAUGAUUCAUUUAACUUUUGAAGACUUGAUUAAUCAUGUUUAGGUCCAAAACGUGUGGUAAAUUGGCUUGUAAUUAAGGAUUAGUGAAGUUCAAAAUUCUGAACAUGGUGAUUUCUUCAGUUCCAAGUUACCAUGUUUAAUUCAAUGGGGCAUCUUGCCUAGGAGGCUUUUUGAUCUCAUUUUUCUUGCAAUUUUUGGACAUCAUAUCAAAGAUUACAAUGUGCCAAGAAAGGUUGCAUUUGGAUGCUUGAGCAGAAGUUUAUGGCAUGUUAAAGUUGGCACAAAAAUUUGGUUAUGCAACUUGGAAAAUUCUAAGUCCCAGAUGGCUAAAAAUGACCCAUAAUGUCUCAAAGAAUUCCAUGGUCUUCCAAGCAUAAUUUGACUUUGAUCCUUGAAGAAAACUUGUAGAGGGCAUCACAAAUGAUAUUAUUCAAAAAGAAUCAGCGUCAAAUGUUGGAAAUUGAAGAAGUUAUAAUCCUUGAAAGUUGAGAAAAAGUCACUUGAAAAUAGGUCAAAUUUCACUAGGUCCACAAAUGACCUAUAAUGUCUUCAAACUUUUGAUGAUCCUCCAUGCAUAAUUGGAUCUUGUAAUGUAAAGAGAAGUUAUAGAGGAUAUUUAGAAGAGUCAUAUGCAAAAAGAAACAUUCAAAAAUAUUGAGGAUUGAAGGAAUUGUGAACCUUGGAACUUUGACUUCAAAUGUUGAAUUUUUGGUCAAACCUCUUGGAAUAAACUUGUGUACUUGGACUUUUAUUGCAUUUCAAGGUACAUGGAUGAUCAUAUGAACUAAAAAUAAGGUGUCCUUAAAUUUAUUUUUAUUAAAUUUCUUAAAGUUUGAGGUAACAUAUUGAAGAAGGCAUGGAAAUAAACACAUGAACCUUUGCCUUUUCUUGAGACCGAUUAUCCACUUUUGUGUAACCGAUUACAAGCGCAAUAUUUUGAUUUUUCCUGCUAUUUUACUUGGUCAAUUCAGUUCCCAAUUGUGUUGUAUCUCUUGUAUAAGUGUUUAGAAUGCACACUCAUCUAAGGUUAAUGCAAUAAUAAUCUCUCACCCUUAAUUCUCCUCUUUCACACUCUACAUCCAAAGUAUCUCCACCAUUGUUCAUCAAACUUGUUGUGUCUUGUUCCAACAUUUGACAUCAAGAGUCUGGUUCAGAUCCACAAACACCUAGUGUGCAACAUGAAUUAUGUUUCCAAUGAAAGAAUCCCUGCAAACCUACAUAUCCUUGAUGCGAAGAAUUAUGAUAAAUGGUGCAAGAAAAUGAAGAUGUUGUUUGGCUACCAAAAUGUUCUUAAAGUAAUCAAGAAUGGUGUUAGCCCUCUUGUUCAAAAUGCAACAGAGGUGCAAAAAGAAACACAUAAGAAAGAGAAGAAGAAAUACUUCAAAGUGUUAUUCUUGAUCCAUCAAUGUGUUGAUGGCGACAAUUUUAAGAAAGUUGGUGAUUGCGAAUCGUCAAAGCAAGUGUGAGAGAUCUUAGAAAAGACAUGUGGAUGGGUUGACAAGGAAAAGGUGGCGAGGUUACAAACUUACAAACACCAGUUUGAAUUGAUUCAAAUGGAGGAAAAGGAGACAAUAAACUAUUUUGCAAUGAGAAUCACCCGGUUGGUGAAUCAAGUGAAGGCAUGCAAAGAAACUGUUACAAAGCAGUAUGUUGUCGCUAAAUCUUGCAUUCUUUAACACUAAGAUUUGACAAUAUAGUUGUGGCGAUUGAGGAGUCAAAGGAUCUCACGAUGAUGAGUAAAGAGAAGCUGCAAAGUUCUCUCGAGGCUCAUGAUAAAAGGAUGGAAGAGAGGAAUAACGUUAAGGCAAAGGCGGAGAUCGCUUUGCAAGCUCGUUUCAAUGAGAAGGACAAGAGAUCGAAAGGAAAAUGGCCCAAGAAAAGAAAAGGGAAUUUUCAUAAUUUUGGUGGAAGAGAGUCCUAAAAUUCAAAUAAUUUUACUUGUCAAAGGGGUGAGAGCAUCUUCAACAAACAUGGUGGUCAAGGCAACUUUAGAGGUAGAAGGAAGAGGUUUGACAAGAGCAAGGAGUAGUGCUAUAAGUAUCAAUGGUUUGGCCAGUUUGCAAAAGAAUGCAAUUUGAACAAGAAGGAAUCUCAAGGGGAUGAAGCCAAGGUUGCAAGAUAAGAGUUUGAUAAAGAGAAUACAUUUUUGGUCAUGAUCAAAGAAGGGAAUUGUAGCAGCAAACAACUGCGGGACAACAACUACAACAACUCAACGAAUGCUGAAUAGGUUGGUUGAAUGAUACGAUUAACCAAUUGCAUGAAGAGGAAGACGCCAUGAUGAGUUUGAAAGGAGUUCAAUGCAGUGAGGAGUGGUAUUUGGACUUGGUUUGUUCAACUCAUAUAACGGGAAUAAAGGAUUGGUGUGCCAAAAUCAAUUGUGCCAUGAAGAACAAAGUAAAGUUCGCGGAUGACACCACUCUAAUAUUCAAUGGGAUCAGUGAUGUUUUAAUCAUGAGAAGGGAUAAUGGACAUUCCUUGACCAUAAAUUCUUGUACAUUUAGGGAAUCAAAUGUAACCUUCUGAGUAUUGGCCAAUUUCUUGAGAAGGGUUAUAAGAUUCACAUGGAAGACAAGGGGUUGCGGGUUAUGGAUGUAAGAUGAGUCUUGGUCCUUAAAGCGCAUAUGGAUGCCAAUAAAACCUUUAAGGUUGAGUUGAAGGUUAUAGAGCAUAAAUAUCUUGCUACUGUAACAAGUAGACAAUAUUGGAUUUGGCACUAUCGUCUUAGGUAUCUCAACUUUAGAGAUUUCAAAGACUUUCAAAAGAACAGAAUGGUAACGGGGCUGCCAUCGAUCAACAUACUAGCUGAAAUUUAUGAAGAAUGUAUGCAAGCGAAGCAACAUAUGGGAAAAUUAAGAAAGUAGAUUCUAUUGGUGGCAAUAUGUAUUUUUUCACAUUUAUCGAUGAUCAUAGUACGAAGCUAUGGACAUACCUAAUCAAGAGAAAUGACGAUGUAUUUGAUGAUUGUUUGUCAUUGCAUAUAUUUAAUCGAAGAAUCAAAGAAAAAUAAGUGAAAUUUGAGAUAAAAUGAAGAAGAAUGAGGAAAAAAUAGCUAAGUGUGAAAAUUGUGGACUUAUUGAAAAUUUGAGUGAAAAGGGGAGCAAAACCGUGCAACCACGGGAAUAAUCACGCGCACCAUCACAUAGCAUCGUGCACGCGAUGGGGUCUUUAAAGCAGCAUUACACGCGCGAUACAAGGAAUCACGCGCGUGAUAAGUACUUUUUAUGGGCUUUUUAGACACGUUCUAGUCCAUUCUAACGCCUUUAAAAGAGGAUUUUCUGCACUUUCACAAGGGUUACAAAAUUGGGAGAUCUAGGCACGAUUUUGAGAGCACAAGUGGUGAUUUUUAUAGCAUUGGAAGCUAUUGGAGGCCAUUACUUCAACGUAUUUCACAUGUUAUUUUCAUCUAUCAAUUAUGGCAUUUUUAAUUGCAUUAUGAGUAGCUAAGCUCUUUUAUAUUAGGUUGUGUUAUGAUGAACCUAUUUCUAUAUUGUUGGAAUCUAUGUUGAUUUAACCAUUCUAAGAACCGUUUGAACUAUAAUUCCAUUCAAUUGCUUUUUGUUCAUAAUUCCUUUUAUGUGAGAUACUCUUUUAAUCUGAUUUUGGGCACAUAGGGAAUAUUGACUAUUAGUCUAUGUGUUGGACCUAGGGAAAUUGUUGUACUUACGCUGGUUGAAUAGGAAUAGGAGACCCUGAGUAGUGGCAUAGAGAAUUAAUGUUUUAUACAUCACCUAACCUUGCUUACGCUGGCAGACUAGGGAUAGAAAGCUCUGAGUAGUGGUUAGUGAGUUAUUUCGCGAGGGAUCAGCUAUAACGGUUUUGUUAAUUCGAUGUGGUGUUAUAGUGAUAAGACCAUUCGUAAAAGAUAUAAAACAUCAACAAUAGAGGAAUAGGGGAUUCUAGAACACAAUAUGCUCGUUUUCGUGAUAUUGUUUAAUUGUUUAUUUACUUUUCGCACUGAAACUCGAAAACCCCCCUUUUUACUAGUUUUCUAUAAAUUGCACACAUUUUGUCUUGCCUGAAGGAAAUUCAUGUGGAUUCGAUCUUUUUAUUACUUCGACAAUAUCAAUACACUUAUCGAGAAAUCAUUAAGUUUUUGGCGUCGUUGCCAGGGACUGUUGAUUUUUCAACAAGGCGAUGUUUGUGCAAUUUUUAUUUUUAUUUUUUUAGUCUUUUAGUUUUUUUUUUCUUUUUCUUGUUUAUCAUAGUGCUAUUGAGGUAUUUUUUGUUUGUGUAUGCACAAUUUAGGAUCAACAUUAAUACCAUUGGUUCUAGAAAUUGAAAGAACUACACGUGCUCUCAGAAAAGCAGUUAGAGAAGCAGCUCUGAAAGGAGGAAUACUAGAAGAAGAGCAACUAUCAAAUUCUUCUGACUCUGAAGAAGAAGCUGUAAUGGAAGCUGCACAACCCCUAACUAUGGGGCAUUAUUAUAAAUUAACCGAUGAAGGACACUUAUCAAGAGGGUUUGUGCUGGUAGACCCUGCUAACUUUGAUAUUAAAAAUUAUGUGCUUUAAGGUUUGAGAGAAAAUUCGUUUGAUGGGAACACGAUUAGAGACCCAUGGGUGCAUCUUACACACUUUUAUGAAAUAACUUAAAUGUGCAAACCAACUGAUGCCACUGAAGAGCAGGUUAAAUUGAGGUUGUUUGGGUUCUCACUAAUUGGAAGGGAGAAAGAUUGGUUACUUUGCCUUCCGAAUAAAACGAUACAUACUUGGAAGGAAUUAAAGGAUAAAUUCCUCGAAAUAUUUUUCAUUACUACUCAGUUUACCGAGCGCUAAGCAGAAAUUGUGAAUUUUGUGCAGCAGGAAACUGAGUCACUUUAUGACUCUUGAGAAAGAUUCAAAUUUUUGUUACGCAGAUGCCUGAAUCACAACAUGAAUAAUAUGGUGCAGAUGUAAAACUUCAUUAAAGGUCUCAAGAGUCAAACUCACAUGUUAUUGGAUGCUUCUACGAGAGGUACUAUCUGAAAAAUGAAUGAACCACGGGUAAAAGAUCUCAUUAAGAAGAUGUGUAUGAAGGAGUACCGAUCCAAGAAUGAAAGGUCGGUCAAGAUGGGAAUUGUGGGCACGCCUAAAGGUAUGUUACCUAUUGAUACCCACACUGCUCUUUUAGCUCAGAUUGAAUUAUUAAAUAAAAAUCUAGUUGGAAGCAGCUUAGUUAAAGCUAAUGUAGGCUAGGUACAAGCACUUGGGUGCGAUUUAUGUAGAAGAGAACAUGCGAAUGAAAGGUGUUCAUUGGAAGAGACAAGUGAGGAGGUCCAAUUUGCUAAUUUUUUAAAAAAUAACUUGUAUUCAAACACAUACAAUCUGGGUUGAAAAGACCAUCCAAAAUUCCGUUGGAAUAAUAAUCAAAAUUCAAAUGCUAACUAAGGGAUGCAACAAAGUCAACAAGCUCUGUUUCAAAGGAAUCCCAUCACAGUUGGUAGAGACCUCACAAAAUUUCAUUAAGGUCACUCAAAGUAGAUUUGAUAGGGUAAAGAAGACCCAUGAAUAAAUGAGUAGAAACUAGGAUGCGUCUAUCAAAAUUUUGGAGAUGAAGAUUGGUUAAUUAUCUAGAAAAGUAGCUACUUUGUCAAGCUCAAGUGGAGGAUUCACCAGUAACACCGUUGAUAACCAUAAGAAUGAUAACCCUAAAUAUAGGUUUAAGGGCAAUUACUGAAAAGGAUAAGGAUGAGAUAGUUAAACAAUGUGUGGUUAAGGCAUAUGAGGGUACCUGUAGCACCUCAAAUUUGCACCCCCCAUUCAUGCAUUCAUUUCAUUUUUUAGGUCAUUUAUCAUUCCAUAUUGCAUUGCAUUUUGGCAGUCAGCAUUGGCAUCAAGAGAUUCAUCAGUACAAAAGAGAAAGUUUUUUCUUGAGAUGAAGGCCAAAUGAUUAUACUAAAGAGCUUAUAUGAGCCCAGGUUCAUUUUGAAGCAAAGUUACCAAGUGGUAGAGGCCCAAACUCAUCAGUGCACUUCCAGGUCAUCUGAGGCCCAUACAAGUCAACUAUGCAGUCAACUAAGGGCUUUGAGUUGGGGAAAUGGUUUGAGACACUUCAUUCAUGUCCAAAAGAGGCUUUUUCAUCAUGUCAAACAUCUACCUUGAAGAUUUUGAAGUCAAAUCAAAAGUUUCCAAAAAUGGAAAGUGACCUGUAAUUCAAAGUUUCCAAAAAUGGCAAGUUUUUAGACCACAUUCAACUUGACUUUCCAACAUCAAAUAAGCUUCAAAUGAAUUUUUGGUCAACAUGAAAGUUGAAGAUAUUUCUCUCCUAUUUCCAAAAAGUCCAAGAGUAUGAGUAUCUGAUGAAUGGUUGAGAAGUUAUGAACAAAUGAUUGCAAAGUAUGCAUGGAACUUCAAAGUGCCAUAACUUUUGAUCCAAAACUCCAAAUUGAGCCACUCUUUUUGCAAAAUGCUUGUAUUGACCAAUAUUUUCCAAAUCAAACAUUGCAUUGCAUGAAAUUAACUCACAUGAUCAUUUGUCCAUGCAUGUAUAUUUUGGAGGGAAAAUGGAUAAUUCAAAUUCUAUUGAUCAUACAUGAAAAAUUCCUAUGCCAUUGUGAUCUUUGGAUGAUUUUAAGUGACUUUUAACCAUGCAUGUGCACUGUUCACGUGUAAAAUCUCCAUGCACCACACAUUUACCAUUUUUGCAUUACACCUCAUUUCUCAUUAAGUUUCCAUUAGCCAAGCCUAAUUGUGAUUAGCAUGAUAAUUAACAUGUGAUAUAAAUAGAUAAUCCUAACUGAAUUGGAUGAGAUUACACAUUCUAGAUCUAGAAAUUGGAUUUCCCUCCAAAAAUUCUCUCAAUUCAAACAUCAAAUUUCUACACAUAACUCAUGAAUUUUCUUGCAUAAUUGUGUUCAUCUUGCAUCAUUGAGUAAGAAUCAAGGCCUGGACUGAAGGAUUUGGUGCAGAGUCGAGCUCCACGAAUGCAUGAAAAUGAAGAAGGUUUUCUGAAUUUGAGCUUCAUUUAGGUAGUUUCAAUUGCUAUUCCUUCCAUAAAGCUUCACCUCAAGGUUGAUAGAGGAGACCUGGAGCUGGAGGAGGCUUGAAUCCACGAAAUCAUCGCACUGUUCUUCAAGAAGGUUAAAAUUUGAAUCUCAUUAUUUGCCAUUUUAUGCACAUGAUCUUGUAGGUCGUGCUCCACUGAUGAUUCUGAUAUGAAUAUUAUUGAUUUUGGCUGGAUAUUGAGUGAGUUAUGAUGAAUUAAAGUUUGUAUGCUAAAUUUGUUCUUGCUCGAUCCAUGAGAUAUGUGAUGAUUUAGAGUGAAUUAGGCAUGGAUUUGGAAUGUACGUUAUGCAAGCUUUCGAUCCAUAUCAUUUUUGCAUGAUUCUAGAAUUUUUUUGAUGCACCUUCAUCGGCGUACCACCGGAGAAGAUGACCGAAAGUACUAUUCCGGUCAUCUGGUUCAUGAGCUAGGGUUUUAAUGUGCGCACCUGUAACCAUGCAAGCCCCAGUUCGAUCCUUGGCAACUGUUAUUUUAAAAUCCAUUUAUUUUCUCCCUAUGAUCCAAACGUUGCGUUUUGCUCUAGCGCCCUUGUGAACAAGCCUUGCCUCUGUUCGAUUCUUGGCCUGGCAAUUAUCCCAAUUGAUUUUAUUGAGCGCGCCUAUGACCCUAUAGUCCUCAGUUCGAUUCAGGCGCUUUGCAUUUUUUCUUUUAUUUUCAAUUGAAGCGCUGCCUUGGACCUUUGUGUCCUGAGUUCAAUCCCUGACCAAGUAUUUUUCAUCUUUUAAUUCACAUUUCAUUUUUUCACAUGAUUGUUGUGAUGUCUAUUAUUUUUUGAUGUGAUUUUCCUAAUUUUUGUAUUUCUGGAAUUUUAAAUGUGUUUGUGUGAUUGAACAUGAUGCAAAUAUGACAUGUUAUGCUAAAUGUUUUAUGAAAUGCUCAUAUUUUAUCCAAUUGCCUUGAAAUUUGACAUGCUUGAUCUAUACAUGUGACAUGAUUUUUGAGCUUUUGUUUGGCAUUUUUAGCACAUUCCAUCACUGUUUGGGACACAUGAACAUAUGAUGUAGCAUUUGGUGUCACAUUCUUGACCUUGCUUGUGUUCAUUUUCAUUUGCAUGUCAUUUGAUAUCUUCUGGACCUAAUUCUUUGCAUGAUGCUUGUGUUUAAAAUUUUGAUCUCACAUAAAAAAUUUCAUGAUCAUUGGAUGCAUUUCUGUUUUAAUGUGGAUUUUCUACCUUUUUCUUGCCUUGUGUAGAUGAUGAAUAAGCACCACUGUUGAUUGACUGUUUGGUUUGUCUGAAUGUGAUAUUGACUGUUUGACUUUUGUACAGGUACAUUAGUCGCUUUUAGCUCUCGCUUGAGCUUUGCUUUGGUUGUGGUUGAUAUACCACCUAGGUAAUCACUCUAACUCCAUGUAGUCUGGAAGCCCUGUCGUUUCUUUUGGCAUGCAUUUGGUUGAAGUCCUCCUUAAGAGGCAAUGACUGUGUUUAUUUAUAUUUAUGCCAAAGACCUCCUUGUCGAGGCAUGUUACUUGUUAAGUCCUCCUAAGUGAAGAGGCAAUUGACAGAUGGAAAGGAUUAGCAAUCAAUCCCCUGUUAUUCGUUGAAUCGUUCAUUAUGCUCGCACUAUAUGCUGAUGCUCUUGAACCUAACCCAAGAUCCUUGUAUAUAGAGUCAGUCAAGUGGAAUAGGGUCCCUCUUUCUGGAUCCCCAGGUUUUCAUUGAUUUGAGCUCACCCAGGCCAGGGUUAAGAGCAUGAGGUCUUAUCCUCAUUACCUUUCAUCAGCUUCACCCUAACUCUCAAUGUUAGUGGUUAAGAGCUUCAGCACACCCCUACAGUUUUGGCUUGUUUGUCGAGGUUGAUAUGACCCCUUGACUAAAGCCUUACCCUCAGAUGUUUGAGCCCCUUGUUGGCGUGUUUACUUCAUGUAUAUGUUUUUGUGUGGUGUGAUUGUAUCCCCAUAGGAUUGCUAGACUUCGUAUAGUCUCUCGUUUGCAUGUCAAUUAAGGUAGCAUGGUUCCUUCGUCUAGGACUUCCUUUCUUGCGUGAGCAUUCCUAAAACACAAACAAACUUUAUCUUCUCUUAAGGACACGUUGACUCCUUCUACUACAGGUGAGUAAGUCUCCAAAGGUCGAGCAUCCAUCUAGGACUUCCUUUCUUGCGUGAGCAUUCCUAAAACACAAACAAACUUUAUCUUCUCUUAAGGACACGUUGACUCCUUCUACUACAGGUGAGUAAGUCUCCAAAGGUCGAGCAUCCGGUAGAUUGCAUAGUAACGUUGUUCACCUAAAAAACACAACAAACAGAAAUAGUUUAGCCGAACUACGACAACUCUGAUUCUCAUGUUCAGAUGAGAUACGUAGGCAUGAGAUGCGAUGUCUUGUCGAGUUUGACUGACGACUAACAUUAAUCCUUGCUAGUUUUCAUCCUCGUUGCGAUUCUUUUCUCUCGCCCUCGUUGCGAUUGAGACCUUCCUUUUCUCUUGCCCUAGUUGCAAUCGAGACCCUUCUUCUUUUCGUGUGUGUUUGUUAGGAGUCGGAUAUAAGUCCAUCUAUUGGCAUUCUGUUUCCUGUUUGCGUGUGUGUUUGUUAGGAGUUGGAUGUAAGUCCAUUUAUUGGCAUUCUGUUUCCUUGUGUGUUUGUUCGGAGUCGGAUGUAAGUCCAUCUAUUGGCACUCUGUUUCCUGUUUGUAUUUCCUUGUUAGGAGUUGGAUGUAAGUCCAUUUAUUGGCAUUCCGUUUCCUUUGAGUGUUCUUUUGACGUCUCAGCGUCUCUUUUCAGUGUUUUGUUUCGGCGUGCGUUAGCCGAGCUACGAGUGCUCUGAUUCUUCCUCUGGUUAGAGAAGAUACGUAUGCAUAGGAUGCGAUGUCCUAGCGAGCACGUCUCCCAUUUCCCCGAACUACGUCGACUCUGAUGUUUGUUUCUGACAAACUACGUAGGCCCAGGAUGCGACAUCCUGCCGAGUCUGCUUUCUCCGUCUCCUCUUCCGCCUGUUUAUUAUUCCAUUGCGUGCAGUCUUUGAGCAGUUUUAUUAGCAACCUUAUUCUUUCCUUCUGAGCGUGGAUCCCAUCGAGUACGACGGACGUGAGGGGUGCUAAUACCUUCCCCUUGCGUAACCGACUCCCGUACCUAGCAAUCUUUGUUCGUAAGACCAUUCCUUUCCCUUUUUCAGGUUUACUUCGAGGGUUUCCUUUCCCUCCUUUGGGAUAAAUAACGCACGGUGGCGGCUCUGUGUCUUUUCCCGCCGGUUGUUUUUCGCGAUGCGACAGUACCAAUCAAGGUGACCAAGAGGAAAGAGGAGUCACCAUUGAUCAACUUAUAGACAAAAAUUCUCCUUGGAGGAGAACAAAGAGGCAUAUCUUGACUGAACCAAAUCCUCCUUUACCAGAUUACGUAAAACCACCGUAGCCGAUAAUUAAAAAGAAAUUGGUUCAAGAUGAUGAAGCGGGAAUGUUUGCAAAGUUCAAGGAAGUUCUAGCUACUCUCCAGGAAAGUAUUUCAUUCCAUGAAAUUUUAGAACUAAUGCCUAAGUUUGUUAAAUUUAUGAAGGCGUUUCUAAAUGGGACGGAAGAGAAAUGAAUCAAGGAACAUGUAAACAUGACCGAAAAUGAUGAUAUGGUAAAACCUCAAUCCUUACAACCUAAACUAAAAGACUCAGGUAAGUUUAUUAUUUCUUGUAAUAUCAGUGGAUUCAAUAUUCUGCAUGCUCUAUGUGAUCUGGGGUUUAACAUAAAUGUCAUGCCACUGAAAACUGUCAAAGAAUUAAAAAUGGGUGAGAUCACACUGAAUAACAUGACUCUCACUCUAGUUGAAUCGUCUAUUACUCAAUCGAUUGUUACUUUACGCAACAUAUUAGUAUCUGUGGACGACUUAUUGUUUCCUAUAGAUGUUGUAGUGCAUGAUACAAAAGGAGAUUAAGGAGGAUCUGUUAUUCUUGGACGUCCAUUCUUGGCAACCGAGAAAGCAAAGAUUGAUGUGGACACUGGUCAACUUAUCUUGAAGUCAAAUAAAAGGAAUGUGGUUUUCAAGGUAUUUGACUGGGCAUCUUAUGUGGAUAAUUUGGAUACUUUAUACCAUCCGGAGGAAAAAGGUAGAAAAGUAGACAAAGGAACAAUGAGAAAGGAAGUGACAGGCGUGAGGGUAUCCCUUGCACCUGACGUACCUUAGACAUGGAUUGUCAAGCUAGUUACGUAAAAAAAGCGUCUGAUGGGAGGCAACCCAUCCGUAAGAAAUUAUUUUUAUGUCAUAGUGAAUUUUUAUUUUUCUAACCUUGUUAAUUUUUGUGUUAUGUUGUUCGAAGAGAAAAUAGGUAAAAGAAGAAAAGAAAGAAAAAGAAAAAGGGAAGAAAAUAGAAAAAGAAAAGAGAUAGGAAAGUUUCAGCCCCUGGAAUCAUCACGCAUGAUAAUAUAAACUAGUUAUUUACAAUAAAUUUUUUUGAUAUUUAUUUAAAGAAGCACAAUUAAUAUAAAGACAAUAACACACCAAUCACACAUAAUAAUUUUAGAAUAAUUAUACUCUAAGAUUUUGAGAGUCGUGAUAUCUCCUCUUCUUAAAUGUUUAAGAAUUGGAUCUCUCUCACUAAUCUCUAUCCCCUUAUUUAUUUUAAGAAUAAACAUAUUGAAUUAAUAAAACAUAAUUGCACAUUUCUUAUAGCGAUUAUACAAACAACUAUCAAAGUUGAAAAAACUAAAGAGAGGUCAACUCAAUCUUUAUCAAAUUAAAUUAAAGUUUAUUUUAAAACACAAACAACUAGUUCAUUAAAAAGAUAACUUGUUUAGUACACAAAUGAGAUCUUACUUAAUACAUAGAAAUAAGAUCUUACAAAACAUAGAUAUUAAAAACAUAGGAACAACAUGAAAAGUUUUCAAAAUGACAUAGACAUUGAUUAACAAAGACAUGAAUUAGUUUCGGGUAUUUUUUAACCAUCCAUCAAGGUAAACUUGUUUGGAGUCAGGGGUGAAUUUUUCUUUCUCGGCUCGGAUAUCUUUCAACCAUCCAUCAAGGUAAACCUGAUUGUUGUCUGAGGUGGAUUUUGUUGUCUCGGCUCGGAUAUCUUUCAACCAUCCAUCAAGGUAAACUUGGUUGGAGUCAGAGGGCAAUUUUAUUUUUUCAGCUCGAGUGUCUUUCAACCAACCAUCAAGAUAAACUUGUUUGGAAUCAGAGGUGGAUUUUGUUUUCUCUGCUCGGGUAUCUUUCAACCAUCCAUCAAGGUAUACUUGGUUGGAGUCAGGGGUGGAUUUUGUUCUCUCAUUUCGAGUAUCUUUCAACCAUCCAUCAAGGUAAACUUGGUUGGAGUCAGACAUGGUUUCUGUUUGCUUAGCUCGAGUAUUUUUUAACCAUCCAUCAAGGUAAACUUGGUUGGAGUCAGGGGUAGAUUUUUCUUUCUCAGCUCGGGUAUCUUUUAACCAUCCAUCAAGGUAAACUUGUUUGGAGUCAGAGGUGGGUUUUGUUUUCUCUGCUCGGGUAUCUUUCAACCAUCCAUCAAGGUAAACUUGAUUGGAGUUAGGCAUGGACUUUUCUUUCUCGGCUCUGGUAUCUUUCAACCAUCCAUCAAGGUAAACUUGGUUGGAUUCAGAGGUGGAUUUUGCUUUCUUUGCUCUGGUAUCUUUCAACCAUCCAUCAAGGUAAACUUGGUUGGAGUUAGGUAUUGACUUUUCUUUCUCAGCUCUGAUAUCUUUCAACCAUCCAUCAAGAUAAACUUGGUUGGUGUCACCUGUAGAUUUUGCUUUCUCAUCUCGAGUAUCUUUCAACCAUCCAUCAAGAUAAACUUGGUUGGAUUCAGAGGUGUCUUUUGCUUUCUUUGCUCUGGUAUCUUUCAACCAUCCAUCAAGAUAAACUUGAUCAGAGUCUUGGGAGGAUUUGGUUUUCUCUGCUCGUGUAUCUUUCAACCAUCCAUCAAGAUAAACUUGGUUAGAAUUAGCAAUUUGUUUUUGACUCUUCAAUGGAUUUUUGAGCCAACCAUCAAG
RNAcentral lists this long non-coding RNA (67287 nucleotides) under Lathyrus oleraceus (garden pea). RNAcentral's name for it is "Pisum sativum (pea) long non-coding RNA (PSAT_LNC021935)". Lineage: Eukaryota; Viridiplantae; Streptophyta; Magnoliopsida; Fabales; Fabaceae. The record is from RNAcentral.